CAGUUUUUAGAUCGAUCCGUUUUGUUUCAACUGAUCUGUUCUUUGUUUCGCAAUAUCCAUUGAUUGAUCUGUGAUCCGUGGUCGUUUGAGUGUGUGAUCUAAUCAUUUUGUGUCGAUCUAAUUGUUAAGAGUUUGAGAUUGAUAGAUCUAGGUUUCGCGUUUUUAGAUCCGAUUGUUAUCGAUUCAUAUUCUAGAUUUGAUCUUUUGUUUGAAUCUAAUUGAUCGUGUGAUCUGUUUUAAAUCACCUAUAACAACUAGAUCUACUUGUGUGUCGUCGAAAUCUGAUUAACAAACCUACCUUGAUCGCGUUUCUAUUGUGAUUUUCAAGUUGUCGAUUUGAAUCCUUCUUUGCUUGAUAAUCAAGUUUUCUUUUACCGCCAGUUAUUUUCAGUUUAAAAUCUCUUGAUCAUCUACUGAUUACGAUCAGUUUAUUGGAACUAUUUACUGGUUGAGUAUUGUUAUUGAUUCUAGGUACCAAUGGGGAAAGAAUCAGAAGAAGAAGCCGAGCUAGUAAGGAAGAACAAGAUGCUGAGAGAUCAAAUGACCGAACAAAUGAAUCAGACCAUGAUCUCUACUAUGGCUGAUAUGCUCAAGGCUAGCAUGAAGGAAUUACGUGAGGAGAUGAGACAAGAGUUGAGGCAAGCUACUGGCCAGGGACAUAGCAAUGAGUCUAGAAGAAACCGGCCUACUCCAGUACGGCAAGAGCAUGCGGGUUCACAAGAGACCGACAACUACUACUCGCGCAAUAGAACUGAGCACAACCCAACUGAGCGCAGUAGUUCAUCUUCUGAACUGAGCAGAGGAAGAUCAAGGCGUGAACAUGAUGGAAGGGGGUCACGCAAAGACAAGCUUUCAGGACUUAAGCUUAAGAUUCCACCCUUCCAUGGCAAGGUGGAUCCAGAUGCCUACUUGGAGUGGGAAAAGAAGAUCGAGCUUGUCUUCAAUUGUCAACACUACUCCAAUGCCCAAAGGAUCAAGAUUGCAGCAACUGAAUUCUAUGAUUAUGCGUUGAGUUGGUGGGAUCAACUUGUAACUACUAGACGGCUUAACCAAGAGAAUCCGGUUGAUUCAUGGCACGAGAUGAAGUCACUCAUGCGCAAACGGUUUGUUCCAAGUCACUAUCACCGCGACCUACAUCAAAAGCUGCGAAGACUUACCCAAGGAACACGAACUGUUGAAGAAUACUAUCAAGACAUGGAGUUGCUGAUGUUGAGAGCUAGUAUCUUGGAGGAUAGAGAAGCCACUAUGGCAAGGUUUCUUGGAGGGCUUAACCGUGAGAUACAAGACAAUGUGGAGAUGCAACACUAUGUGGAAAUAGAAGAGAUGUUGCACAAAGCUAUUCUAGUGGAGCAGCAGCUCAAGAGGAAGGGUAACUCACGCAGCUAUGGAUCAUCUAAGUUCCACCACUCUAAAGAAGAGAAAACAUCCUAUCUGAAGGAUAGCAAGCCUCAGCAGAAAGAAGAGACUAAGCCGAGCAGCAUAUACAGCAAAGACAAAGGCAAAGCUGAAAUUACUAGUUCAAGAACUAGAGAUGUUAAGUGCUUCAAAUGUCAAGGGCGUGGGCAUUAUGCUAAUGAGUGCACCAACAAAAAGGUUAUGAUUCUUCUUGAGAAUGGAGAGUAUGAAUCAGAGGAAGAGAAGUUUGGUUCUGAUCAUGAGGAGUCUGAAGAAGAAAGUGAAGUAGAACCCGUGAAAGGAAGAUUGUUGGUGACAAGAAGGCUCUUGAACGUGCAAGCCAAGAAUGGAGAGUUUGAGCAGCGAGAGAAUCUAUUCUACACAAGGUGUAUGGUUCAGGGAAAGGUGUGCAGUCUCAUUAUUGAUGGAGGAAGUUGUGUCAAUGUAGCCAGUGAGACUAUGGUGAAGAAAUUGGGUUUGAAAAUUCAGAAACACCCAAGACCCUACAGAUUGCAGUGGCUCAAUGAGGAGGGCGAGAUGAAAGUUUCUACUCAAGUACUGGUUCCUAUAGCCAUUGGUAGAUAUGAAGAUGAAGUCUUGUGUGAUGUGUUGCCAAUGGAAGCCAGUCAUAUACUCCUUGGAAGACCCUGGCAGUAUGAUAGACGUGUGAAUCAUGAUGGCUUCACCAACAAACAUUCUUUUGAAUUCAACGGAAAGAAGACUGUGCUGGUGCCUCUGUCUCCUAAAGAGGUUCAUGAAGAUCAAAUCCAGCUUCAGAAAAAGAAAGCGAAAGAGAUUGAUCUCAAACCUGAUCAUGACAAGCAUCACAGCCUCUAUGCCAAACAGGGAGAUAUCAAAAGAAUUCUCUACUCUCAAAAUUCUAUUAUCUUGCUUAUGUUUAAAGAGACUCUUCUAACUAUUACUGAUCACACACCGGAUCAUCCGAGUGAACUAGUUUCUCUUUUACAGGAGUAUGCAGAUGUGUUUCCAGAAGAUAGCCCCAUUGGAUUGCCUCCAGUGCGUGGGAUUGAGCACCAAAUAGACUUUGUACCUGGUUCUACACUGCCCAACCGUCCAGCAUACAGGACCAAUCCACUUGAAACCAAAGAACUGCAGAAACAAGUAGAGGAGCUGAUGGAGAAGGGUCAUAUCCGAGAAAGUUUGAGUCCUUGUGCAGUUCCAGUGCUCCUUGUGCCAAAGAAAGAUGGGAGCUGGCGCAUGUGUGUUGAUUGUAGAGCAAUCAACAACAUAACAGUGAAGUAUCGCCACCCUAUUCCUAGAUUAGAUGAUAUGCUUGAUGAAUUGCAUGGUUCUUGCAUCUUUUCUAAGAUAGACUUGAAAAGUGGAUAUCAUCAGAUUAGGAUGAAAGAAGGAGAUGAGUGGAAAACUGCAUUUAAAACUAAACAUGGCUUGUAUGAAUGGUUAGUUAUGCCAUUUGGAUUAACCAAUGCGCCUAGUACAUUCAUGAGAUUGAUGAAUCAUAUUCUUAGGUCUUUCAUAGGCAUCUUUGUUGUUGUGUACUUUGAUGAUAUCUUAGUUUACAGCAAAUGCUUAGAAGAUCAUAUAGAACAUCUUAGGGCUGUUUUGGAUGUUUUGAGAAAGGAAAAGCUAUAUGCCAAUCUAAAGAAGUGCACUUUUUGCACAGAUAACUUGGUCUUUCUAGGUUUUGUUGUAAGUGCAGAUGGUGUAAAAGUGGAUCAGGAAAAGAUCAAAGCAAUACAAGAGUGGCCGAGUCCAACUACAGUGGGAGAAGUAAGGAGUUUUCAUGGACUGGCAGGUUUCUAUAGGCGCUUUGUGAAGGAUUUCAGCACUCUAGCAGCUCCCCUAACUGAGAUAAUCAAGAAGGAUGUAGGAUUCAAGUGGGGAGAAGCUCAGGAAGCCGCAUUCCAACUCCUUAAAGAGAAGCUUACUCAAUCUCCUCUUCUCAUACUUCCUGAUUUUUCUAAAACAUUUGAAAUAGAAUGUGAUGCCUCAGGAAUUGGAAUUGGUGCUGUGUUGAUGCAGGAUAAAAGACCUAUUGCUUAUUUCAGCGAGAAACUCAGUGGAGCUACUCUCAACUAUGCCACUUAUGACAAAGAACUCUACGCCUUGGUGAGAGCUCUACAGACUUGGCAGCAUUAUCUCUGGCCAAAGGAGUUUGUCAUUCACACCGACCAUGAAUCUCUCAAGUAUCUCAAAGGACAAAGUAAGCUCAGCAAGAGACAUGCUAGAUGGGUAGAAUUCAUUGAAACCUUCCCGUAUGUGAUCAAAUACAAACAAGGUAAGGAGAAUAUAGUUGCUGAUGCACUAUCCCGAAGGUAUGUCCUCUUAACUACUCUUGAUGCUAAGUUGCUAGGCUUUGAGCAGAUUAAAGAAAUGUAUGAAUCUGAUCCUGACUUUCAAGAAGCUUAUAAAUCAUGUGCUAAGUAUGCUUCAGGACAUUAUUUUAGGCAUGAUGGAUUCUUAUUCUAUGACAAUCGUUUAUGUGUGCCUAAUUGCUCUUUAAGAGAUCUAUUUGUCAGGGAAUCCCAUGGAGGAAGCUUGAUGGGUCAUUUUGGUAUAGCAAAAACCCUUAAAGUUUUGCAGGAUCACUUCUAUUGGCCGCAUAUGAAAAGAGAUGUGGAGAGAAUCUGUGGAAGGUGCACAACUUGCAAGCUUGCAAAGUCUAAGGUUCAACCUCACGGUUUGUAUACUCCUUUGCCUAUUCCUACUCAUCCUUGGAAUGAUAUAUCUAUGGACUUUGUUAUGGGUUUGCCUAGAACUAGGACUGGAAAGGAUUCUAUCUUUGUGGUUGUUGAUAGAUUCUCUAAAAUGGCACAUUUCAUAGCUUGCAAUAAGACUGAUGAUGCAUUACAUGUAGCUAAUUUGUUCUUUAAAGAAGUGGUACGUUUGCAUGGGAUGCCUAGGACUAUAGUUUCAGAUAGAGAUACUAAAUUCCUUAGCUACUUUUGGAAAACAUUGUGGUCUAAACUAGGAACUAAGCUAUUGUUUUCUACUACUUGUCAUCCACAAACUGAUGGGCAAACUGAAGUAGUUAAUAGAACCUUAGGUACUCUCCUGCGUGCAUUCAUUAAAAAGAACUUGAAAUCAUGGGAAGAUUAUUUACCUCAUUGUGAAUUUGCAUACAAUCAUGCUAUGCAUUCUGCUUCUAAGUUUUCUCCGUUUGAAAUUGUUUAUGGGUUCAAUCCCAUCUCACCUUUGGAUCUAAUACCUUUACCUGAGUGUGAAAGGGUUAGUAUGGAUGGGAAAAAGAAAGCUGAGAUGGUUCAGCAAAUUCAUGAGCAAGCUAAGCGCAAUCUAGAAGAGAAAACUAAGCAAUACAUAGUUCAGCAGAUUCAUGAGCAAGCUAAGCGCAAUCUAGAAGAGAAAACUAAGCAAUACGCCAAACAAGCCAACAAGGGAAGGCGUGAGAUGAUCUUUGAAGUUGGAGAUCAAGUAUGGGUUCACUUGAGGAAAGAAAGGUUUCCAAAAGAGAGGAAGUCUAAGCUAAUGCCAAGGAUUGAUGGCCCUUUUGAAGUCACCAAGAGGAUCAAUGACAAUGCCUACAAACUUGAUCUGCAAGGUAAGUACGACAUAAGUGAUAGCUUCAAUGUUACUGACUUGAUCCCUUUUGUUGCAGAUGAGCCAGAUUUGAGGUCAAAUCCUUUUCAAGAGGGAGGGGAUGAUGUGAUCAUGGACCAACUAUCUAAUGGAGAUGAUGAGGAUCUGGAUAAGCCGACUGAUGGAGAUGUUCUAGCCUUGCCUAAAGGACCUAUGACUCGAUCAAGAUCAAGGAAGCUCACGCAAGUUAUUGGAGGAUUGGUUAAGAGGUCAUGGAAGCAAGAGGAAUGUCUUGGUAGAAGCUUGAUCAACCAAGACACACUUAUCACCAUUCAAGCAACUUCACCAUCAAGCUGAUCAUCAACUAAGCAAGCAAACUAUGUGUGCUCUUUUUCCCUAUCUUUGGUUUUGUCCCAAUGGGUUUUCCAAAGAUAGGUUUUUAACGAGGCCAUAGAUUUGUUUCUCAAAUCUCUUAGUUGAUGAUCUCGAUCCAACCUUAUCCCGGAUCAACCUUAUGUUAUAAUAAGUCUUUCAUUUCAUGUUUUAUUUUCAAACUUGUCAUUUGUUUCUAUUUUCAAGAGAGCGUGUGCCUUUACUCUCUUGAUAGUUUUCGAGAAGUUUGGAGUCUGUUCCAACUUCUCUUAUAUAUAAGUGUACUUUGAACCCCUUAUGAUCAUCAAUUAUCUUUUAUCAUAAACCUUUUCUUUGUUCUCUCUACUGCUUGUCCGCGAGUUGUUGAGUGAUCUUGUUGGUGUGUAAUAUCCAGCAACCCAAGAGUGUCUAUCUCGGUGUGUCAUAUCCGAUCUAGUCACUUAGGAGUAUCAAGGAGCCUUUCCGCAGCCUCUUGUGUCACCAAUCGAUCCACAACCUUGUAGAACUUGAGUCUUUGAUUCGUUCUAGCAAGGAUCUAUCCCAUACUAUCCAGAGAAGCAAUCUAGGGACGUAUUAUGUGGUAUCAGAGCAUCUCUGGUUAGGGAAGUACUCGUUUCUCUUUUGUUUCGAUUUAACCUGUUCAUCUUCUUGAACAGUUUUUAGAUCGAUCCGUUUUGUUUCAACUGAUCUGUUCUUUGUUUCGCAAUAUCCAUUGAUUGAUCUGUGAUCCGUGGUCGUUUGAGUGUGUGAUCUAAUCAUUUUGUGUCGAUCUAAUUGUUAAGAGUUUGAGAUUGAUAGAUCUAGGUUUCGCGUUUUUAGAUCCGAUUGUUAUCGAUUCAUAUUCUAGAUUUGAUCUUUUGUUUGAAUCUAAUUGAUCGUGUGAUCUGUUUUAAAUCACCUAUAACAACUAGAUCUACUUGUGUGUCGUCGAAAUCUGAUUAACAAACCUACCUUGAUCGCGUUUCUAUUGUGAUUUUCAAGUUGUCGAUUUGAAUCCUUCUUUGCUUGAUAAUCAAGUUUUCUUUUACCGCCAGUUAUUUUCAGUUUAAAAUCUCUUGAUCAUCUACUGAUUACGAUCAGUUUAUUGGAACUAUUUACUGGUUGAGUAUUGUUAUUGAUUCUAGGUACCAAUGGGGAAAGAAUCAGAAGAAGAAGCCGAGCUAGUAAGGAAGAACAAGAUGCUGAGAGAUCAAAUGACCGAACAAAUGAAUCAGACCAUGAUCUCUACUAUGGCUGAUAUGCUCAAGGCUAGCAUGAAGGAAUUACGUGAGGAGAUGAGACAAGAGUUGAGGCAAGCUACUGGCCAGGGACAUAGCAAUGAGUCUAGAAGAAACCGGCCUACUCCAGUACGGCAAGAGCAUGCGGGUUCACAAGAGACCGACAACUACUACUCGCGCAAUAGAACUGAGCACAACCCAACUGAGCGCAGUAGUUCAUCUUCUGAACUGAGCAGAGGAAGAUCAAGGCGUGAACAUGAUGGAAGGGGGUCACGCAAAGACAAGCUUUCAGGACUUAAGCUUAAGAUUCCACCCUUCCAUGGCAAGGUGGAUCCAGAUGCCUACUUGGAGUGGGAAAAGAAGAUCGAGCUUGUCUUCAAUUGUCAACACUACUCCAAUGCCCAAAGGAUCAAGAUUGCAGCAACUGAAUUCUAUGAUUAUGCGUUGAGUUGGUGGGAUCAACUUGUAACUACUAGACGGCUUAACCAAGAGAAUCCGGUUGAUUCAUGGCACGAGAUGAAGUCACUCAUGCGCAAACGGUUUGUUCCAAGUCACUAUCACCGCGACCUACAUCAAAAGCUGCGAAGACUUACCCAAGGAACACGAACUGUUGAAGAAUACUAUCAAGACAUGGAGUUGCUGAUGUUGAGAGCUAGUAUCUUGGAGGAUAGAGAAGCCACUAUGGCAAGGUUUCUUGGAGGGCUUAACCGUGAGAUACAAGACAAUGUGGAGAUGCAACACUAUGUGGAAAUAGAAGAGAUGUUGCACAAAGCUAUUCUAGUGGAGCAGCAGCUCAAGAGGAAGGGUAACUCACGCAGCUAUGGAUCAUCUAAGUUCCACCACUCUAAAGAAGAGAAAACAUCCUAUCUGAAGGAUAGCAAGCCUCAGCAGAAAGAAGAGACUAAGCCGAGCAGCAUAUACAGCAAAGACAAAGGCAAAGCUGAAAUUACUAGUUCAAGAACUAGAGAUGUUAAGUGCUUCAAAUGUCAAGGGCGUGGGCAUUAUGCUAAUGAGUGCACCAACAAAAAGGUUAUGAUUCUUCUUGAGAAUGGAGAGUAUGAAUCAGAGGAAGAGAAGUUUGGUUCUGAUCAUGAGGAGUCUGAAGAAGAAAGUGAAGUAGAACCCGUGAAAGGAAGAUUGUUGGUGACAAGAAGGCUCUUGAACGUGCAAGCCAAGAAUGGAGAGUUUGAGCAGCGAGAGAAUCUAUUCUACACAAGGUGUAUGGUUCAGGGAAAGGUGUGCAGUCUCAUUAUUGAUGGAGGAAGUUGUGUCAAUGUAGCCAGUGAGACUAUGGUGAAGAAAUUGGGUUUGAAAAUUCAGAAACACCCAAGACCCUACAGAUUGCAGUGGCUCAAUGAGGAGGGCGAGAUGAAAGUUUCUACUCAAGUACUGGUUCCUAUAGCCAUUGGUAGAUAUGAAGAUGAAGUCUUGUGUGAUGUGUUGCCAAUGGAAGCCAGUCAUAUACUCCUUGGAAGACCCUGGCAGUAUGAUAGACGUGUGAAUCAUGAUGGCUUCACCAACAAACAUUCUUUUGAAUUCAACGGAAAGAAGACUGUGCUGGUGCCUCUGUCUCCUAAAGAGGUUCAUGAAGAUCAAAUCCAGCUUCAGAAAAAGAAAGCGAAAGAGAUUGAUCUCAAACCUGAUCAUGACAAGCAUCACAGCCUCUAUGCCAAACAGGGAGAUAUCAAAAGAAUUCUCUACUCUCAAAAUUCUAUUAUCUUGCUUAUGUUUAAAGAGACUCUUCUAACUAUUACUGAUCACACACCGGAUCAUCCGAGUGAACUAGUUUCUCUUUUACAGGAGUAUGCAGAUGUGUUUCCAGAAGAUAGCCCCAUUGGAUUGCCUCCAGUGCGUGGGAUUGAGCACCAAAUAGACUUUGUACCUGGUUCUACACUGCCCAACCGUCCAGCAUACAGGACCAAUCCACUUGAAACCAAAGAACUGCAGAAACAAGUAGAGGAGCUGAUGGAGAAGGGUCAUAUCCGAGAAAGUUUGAGUCCUUGUGCAGUUCCAGUGCUCCUUGUGCCAAAGAAAGAUGGGAGCUGGCGCAUGUGUGUUGAUUGUAGAGCAAUCAACAACAUAACAGUGAAGUAUCGCCACCCUAUUCCUAGAUUAGAUGAUAUGCUUGAUGAAUUGCAUGGUUCUUGCAUCUUUUCUAAGAUAGACUUGAAAAGUGGAUAUCAUCAGAUUAGGAUGAAAGAAGGAGAUGAGUGGAAAACUGCAUUUAAAACUAAACAUGGCUUGUAUGAAUGGUUAGUUAUGCCAUUUGGAUUAACCAAUGCGCCUAGUACAUUCAUGAGAUUGAUGAAUCAUAUUCUUAGGUCUUUCAUAGGCAUCUUUGUUGUUGUGUACUUUGAUGAUAUCUUAGUUUACAGCAAAUGCUUAGAAGAUCAUAUAGAACAUCUUAGGGCUGUUUUGGAUGUUUUGAGAAAGGAAAAGCUAUAUGCCAAUCUAAAGAAGUGCACUUUUUGCACAGAUAACUUGGUCUUUCUAGGUUUUGUUGUAAGUGCAGAUGGUGUAAAAGUGGAUCAGGAAAAGAUCAAAGCAAUACAAGAGUGGCCGAGUCCAACUACAGUGGGAGAAGUAAGGAGUUUUCAUGGACUGGCAGGUUUCUAUAGGCGCUUUGUGAAGGAUUUCAGCACUCUAGCAGCUCCCCUAACUGAGAUAAUCAAGAAGGAUGUAGGAUUCAAGUGGGGAGAAGCUCAGGAAGCCGCAUUCCAACUCCUUAAAGAGAAGCUUACUCAAUCUCCUCUUCUCAUACUUCCUGAUUUUUCUAAAACAUUUGAAAUAGAAUGUGAUGCCUCAGGAAUUGGAAUUGGUGCUGUGUUGAUGCAGGAUAAAAGACCUAUUGCUUAUUUCAGCGAGAAACUCAGUGGAGCUACUCUCAACUAUGCCACUUAUGACAAAGAACUCUACGCCUUGGUGAGAGCUCUACAGACUUGGCAGCAUUAUCUCUGGCCAAAGGAGUUUGUCAUUCACACCGACCAUGAAUCUCUCAAGUAUCUCAAAGGACAAAGUAAGCUCAGCAAGAGACAUGCUAGAUGGGUAGAAUUCAUUGAAACCUUCCCGUAUGUGAUCAAAUACAAACAAGGUAAGGAGAAUAUAGUUGCUGAUGCACUAUCCCGAAGGUAUGUCCUCUUAACUACUCUUGAUGCUAAGUUGCUAGGCUUUGAGCAGAUUAAAGAAAUGUAUGAAUCUGAUCCUGACUUUCAAGAAGCUUAUAAAUCAUGUGCUAAGUAUGCUUCAGGACAUUAUUUUAGGCAUGAUGGAUUCUUAUUCUAUGACAAUCGUUUAUGUGUGCCUAAUUGCUCUUUAAGAGAUCUAUUUGUCAGGGAAUCCCAUGGAGGAAGCUUGAUGGGUCAUUUUGGUAUAGCAAAAACCCUUAAAGUUUUGCAGGAUCACUUCUAUUGGCCGCAUAUGAAAAGAGAUGUGGAGAGAAUCUGUGGAAGGUGCACAACUUGCAAGCUUGCAAAGUCUAAGGUUCAACCUCACGGUUUGUAUACUCCUUUGCCUAUUCCUACUCAUCCUUGGAAUGAUAUAUCUAUGGACUUUGUUAUGGGUUUGCCUAGAACUAGGACUGGAAAGGAUUCUAUCUUUGUGGUUGUUGAUAGAUUCUCUAAAAUGGCACAUUUCAUAGCUUGCAAUAAGACUGAUGAUGCAUUACAUGUAGCUAAUUUGUUCUUUAAAGAAGUGGUACGUUUGCAUGGGAUGCCUAGGACUAUAGUUUCAGAUAGAGAUACUAAAUUCCUUAGCUACUUUUGGAAAACAUUGUGGUCUAAACUAGGAACUAAGCUAUUGUUUUCUACUACUUGUCAUCCACAAACUGAUGGGCAAACUGAAGUAGUUAAUAGAACCUUAGGUACUCUCCUGCGUGCAUUCAUUAAAAAGAACUUGAAAUCAUGGGAAGAUUAUUUACCUCAUUGUGAAUUUGCAUACAAUCAUGCUAUGCAUUCUGCUUCUAAGUUUUCUCCGUUUGAAAUUGUUUAUGGGUUCAAUCCCAUCUCACCUUUGGAUCUAAUACCUUUACCUGAGUGUGAAAGGGUUAGUAUGGAUGGAAAAAAGAAAGCUGAGAUGGUUCAGCAAAUUCAUGAGCAAGCUAAGCGCAAUCUAGAAGAGAAAACUAAGCAAUACGCCAAACAAGCCAACAAGGGAAGGCGUGAGAUGAUCUUUGAAGUUAGAGAUCAAGUAUGGGUUCACUUGAGGAAAGAAAGGUUUCCAAAAGAGAGGAAGUCUAAGCUAAUGCCAAGGAUUGAUGGCCCUUUUGAAGUCACCAAGAGGAUCAAUGACAAUGCCUACAAACUUGAUCUGCAAGGUAAGUACGACAUAAGUGAUAGCUUCAAUGUUACUGACUUGAUCCCUUUUGUUGCAGAUGAGCCAGAUUUGAGGUCAAAUCCUUUUCAAGAGGGAGGGGAUGAUGUGAUCAUGGACCAACUAUCUAAUGGAGAUGAUGAGGAUCUGGAUAAGCCGACUGAUGGAGAUGUUCUAGUCUUGCCUAAAGGACCUAUGACUCGAUCAAGAUCAAGGAAGCUCACGCAAGUUAUUGGAGGAUUGGUUAAGAGGUCAUGGAAGCAAGAGGAAUGUCUUGGUAGAAGCUUGAUCAACCAAGACACACUUAUCACCAUUCAAGCUACUUCACCAUCAAGCUGAUCAUCAACUAAGCAAGCAAACUAUGUGUGCUCUUUUUCCCUAUCUUUGGUUUUGUCCCAAUGGGUUUUCCAAAGAUAGGUUUUUAACGAGGCCAUAGAUUUGCUUCUCAAAUCUCUUAGUUGAUGAUCUCGAACCAACCUUAUCCCGGAUCAACCUUAUGUUAUAUUAUGUCUUUCAUUUCAUGUUUUCAAACUUGUCUUUUGUUUCUAUUUUCAAGAGAGCGUGUGACUUUACUCUCUUGAUAGUUUUCGAGAAGCUUGGAGUCUGUUCCAACUUCUCUUAUAUAAGUGUACUUUGAACCCCUUAUCAAUAAUCAAUUAUCUUUUAUCAUAAACCUUUUCUUUGUUCUCUCUACUGCUUGUCCGCGAGUUGUUGAGUGUUCUUGUUGGUGUGUAGUAUCCAACAACCUAAGAGUGUCUAUCUCGGUGUGUCAUAUCCGAUCUAGUCACUUAGGAGUAUCAAGGAGCCUUUCCGCAGCCUCUUGUGUCACCAAUCGAUCCACAACCUUGUAGAGCUUGAGUCUUUGAUUCGUUCUAGCAAGGAUCUAUCCCAUACUAUCCAGAGAAGCAAUCUAGGGACGUAUUACGUACCCUUCACCCUAUCCGUACAGUCCGUACAUGAUGCUUCCAUCUUCCUCUCUAAUGCUUCUACACUUCCUAAGGUCUCCUCUUCAUACCAUAAGGCUCUCAUCUCAACACUCCCCCUCAAGCUUAGCUUUGUGAAAGUCUAAGCUUGGACAGCCAUGAGAUCUUCCUCAUUAAAAACCUCACUAAGGAAAACCCAUUGGGACAAAACCUUAAUGAGGGAAAAAGAGUAAAGAUCUCACAGCUAAGGGGAUCAGCUCCUUCUCUUCCCAAGAUCUAUGAGUCCCAAUCUGAUGUGAAUGGACUCCAUAGUCUUUUGUCUCGCAGCCUUGGUGAAUACAUCAGCCAACUGAUCUUCACUUCUAGUAUAGCAGGGCAAGAUCACUCCUAGCACAAUCAUCUGUCUCACUUUGUGGCAAUCAACCUCAAUGUGCUUGGUUCUCUCAUGGAACACCGAGUUGGAUGCAAUGUGAAUAGCAGCUUGAUUGUCACAAUGCAUUGUCAUUGGAGAGGCUUGAUCAAUCUCCAAGUGCUUCAAGAUGCCUUUUAUCCACACCAACUCGUUUGUAAGCUUCAGCAUGGCUCUAUACUCAGCUUCAGCACUUGAACAUGACACCACCUUCUGCUUCUUGCUCUUCCAAGUCACCAAGUUACCUCCAAUGAAUGUGCAAUAGCCGGUAGUUGAUCUCCUAUCAGCUCUAUCUCCUGCCCAAUCAGCAUCACAAUACCCCACCACUUCUGUGCUUCCAUUACAUCCCAUCCAAACCCCUUGAUCCGGCGAGCCAUUCAGAUACAUCAGCAGCCUCUCUACCAUGCGCCAAUGAUGUUCCUUUGGAAGCUGCAUGUGUUGACUCACCUGGUUCACAGCAAAACAUAUAUCAGGCCUUGUAAUGGUAAGGUAAAUCAAUUUGCCAACAAGUGUUCUAUAGAGUUUAGGAUCAUGAAAUGGCUUGCUGUCUUCAAUCUCCCCCUCUCUUGGUACUUUGUAGCCAUCCUCCAUUGGCAUCCUUGCUGUCUUGCCUCCAUAAGCACCUGCACCUUUCAAAAGAUCAAGUGUAUACUUCCUUUGGGACAUGAACAAUCCUUCCUUGGAUCUACAAAUCUCAAUUCCAAGGAAGUAUUUCAUUUCUCCCAAGUCUUUGAUUUCAAACAUAGUCUUUAGGAAUUCCUUGGUUGCUUUGAUACCUUCCUUAUCACUCCCAGUGAUAAUGAUAUCAUCCACAUACACAAGGAGAGCAACCAUACCUGAGGGGGUCGUGAGUGUAAAGAGAGUGUGAUCCAAUUCUGACUUCUUGAAGCCUCGGCCAUUCAGAGUUGUGCUCAACUUGUUAUACCAAGCUCUUGGUGAUUGCUUCAACCCAUAAAUGGCUUUCUUUAGUCUCAGCACAUUCCCUCUCUUCACUAGAUGUUCCAGACCUGGUGGAGGAUACAUAUAGACUUCAUCCUCAAGCUCUCCUUGUAGAAAAGCAUUCUUUACAUCCAUUUGCCACAAUCCCCAUCCUAGGUUCACAGCCAAGCUUAAAACAAUCCUAAUGGUGUGUAGCUUGGCUACUGGUGCAAAUGUCUCAAUGUAGUCCUCUCCAUAUGUCUGAGUGAACCCUCUUGCUACUAGUCUAGUCUUCUUCCUCUCAAUCGACCCAUCAGCCUUGUACUUGAUUGUAAAGAUCCAUCUACUAGACACAGCUUUCUUCCCUUUUGGUAGUUCACUCUCAUACCAUGUAUCAUUCUUUAUCAUAGCUCCUGCCUCAGCUCCUACUGAUUCCUUCCAUUCCUUAUCCUCCAUUGCCUCUUCAUAGCUUCUUGGAAUGUGAUUUUCAUCCAAGUUUACCAUGAAUGCGCAAUGUGCUUCUGGAUAUUGAGCAAAAGAACACACGGCCUGAGUAGGAUGCUUCACAGCUUGGGCAUUGUAGUACACUCUUGUGUUUACCCAACUGGAAGGAUCCUUUCUCAGCCUUGUACUUCUUCUCAAUACUGGCCCUUCUUGCGCCAUCUCUUGUUCUUCUUCUUGUGGCAGCACACUUGUUUCAGAUCUUUCUUCUCCUAGCUGACUUGCUUCAGCUCCUUCUUCCCUUAGCUGACUCUCUUCAGCUCCUUCUUCUUGAUCAUUUGAUUCCACAGCUUGAUCAUGAGAGCCAGAACUCUCUUCUCUACUUGUUUCUUCACGGUUUGGAGUUCUUGUUUCAUUCCCCCCCUCAUGCUCAAGGUUGGAAGUCUGAUGAUCCGGGACUGGGGUAGUGCUUCUCCCCCCUUGAUGUCCUUGAUUCAUGUUGAUUCCAAGGCCUUCUAGGAUAAUCCUCAAGGUUUCAGCUCUAUCUGAGGUAAGAUCCUUCAAGUCUUCUUGAAUCUGUUCCUCAUAAUAUCCUUUCUCUUCAACAAACUUCACUUCUCUAGAGAGGUAAGAUCCUUCAAGUCUUCUUGAAUCUUUUCCUCAUAAUAUCCUUUCUCUUCAACAAACUUCACUUCUCUAGAUACUAACACUCUCCUUGUGUUAGGAUCAUAGCACUUGUAUCCUUUCUGACUUGAUGAGUAUCCAAUGAACAUUGCCUUUGAACUCUUAGCUUCUAGCUUGUUUCUUAUCUCUCCAGGCACCAUUACAAAACACAAACACCCAAAGACCUUCAUAUGCUCGAGAGAAGGCUUGUACUGAUUCAGUACCUCAAAUGGUGAUUGUCCUUGAAGGAUCAGAGUUGGUGUCCUGUUGAUGAGAUAACAUGCCGUAGCAACAGCAUCACUCCAAAACUUCUUAGGCACAUUGGAUUGAAACAUCAUGGACCUGGCUACUUCCAUCAAAUGCCUGUUCUUCCUCUCAGCCACACCAUUCUGUUGUGGUGUAUAGGGACAGCUUGUCUGAUGAAGAAUUCCAUGCUGAGCUAGGUGUAGCUUGAAUGCUUGUCCCGUGUACUCUCCUCCAUUAUCUGACCUGAAAAUCUUUAUCUUGGCAUUGUAAUGGUUAGUCACAUAGGAUUGAAAAUUUUUAAAUGCAUCAAGUACCCUAUCUUUGGUUGGAAUUAAGGUUAACCAGGUGUAUUUGGAUUUUUCAUCAAUGAAAGUUACAUAAUACUUAUGAUUUUCUCUAGAUAGGCAAGGUGCAGUCCAAACAUCAGAAUGAAUAAGAUCAAAACACUUUUCAUAAACAGUAGUAGACUUGUUAAAGACAGUUCUACAAUGCUUGCCUAAAAUGCAAGCUUCACAAUCAUUAUUCUCAAAGGAAACACCUGGCAACAUCAGUUUUAAAGCCUUAUUAUGAGGGUGUCCUAAUCUAGCAUGCCACAAUGCAUUUUUACUUAAACCAGAACUAGAAACAGAAGUAAACGAGCAGCUAUAUCUAGAAACAGGAGUGAGAUCUUCAAGUAAAUAUAGCUCUCCUUUAGUCACUCCCUUUCCAAUCAUCUUGCUGCUUUUAAUAUCCUGAAACUUCACAUCAUUAGGACUGAAUAUAACAUUGCAUUGCAAAUCAGUAGCACAUUUCUUAACAGAUAACAAGUUUGAUGUAAAUUCAGGCAUAUAAAAGGCUUUAGUUUCCUUAUCAAAUAGUUUAAGACUUCCUAUUCCUCUAAUAGGAAUCUUAUCACCAUUAGCAAUCAGUACAUUUCCAUUCAUUGGCACAAUGUUUUUAAUUAAGCUAGUGUCACUUAUCAUAUGAUGAGAUGCACCUGAAUCAAUCACUAAUGGCUUAAUGUCAUGAGAACUAGCAAUAUGCGCAAGGAUACUAGAUGGUUUGAAUGCAUGAUCAUUUCUAGCAAAGUUUGCAGUCCUAGAUUGAUUUACCAUUUCUAUCAAGCUCUCAUGCAUCCUAUCAGUUCUAGUUAGAUUCUCAUAGUUCUCUACCACCCUAGCACCAAAAGAAUACCCAAAGAUGUUACCAUUCUCCUUGAACAUCUUAAUGAGAGCAUCAAGGUCGGAUCUCCUUAGAUACUCUUGAUCAUUGUUCCCACGGUUGCUUGAUGCUCCAGUGUAGGCUACAAGAGACUUUCCAUCACCUGCCUCACGCCCAUCUAUCUCCUUUCCUUUGCUUGUACCAGCUCCACUUGUUCCAUCCGAGACAUUAGCCCUUGCCUCACGGUCCUUCAUGAACUUAGCCGGCUUGAGGUGAGGAUGGAGUAUCCAGCAUUGGCUCUUCUUGUGGCCAUGCUUCUUGCAGUGAUCACAACUCCCAUUGAACCUCCUCUCCUCAAACUUCCCAUGCGCAGCCGCAGCCUUGUUUGCUUGUGGAGUUUCACUACCUUCCUCUUGAGUUGCUUGGCUUGCAAGGGACAGGUCUCCUUUCUUUGCAAACAACCCAAUGGAGCCUUGCUCCUUCUGAAUCCGCGCACACACAUCCUCAAGAUCAGGUAGAGUGUCUUCUCUAAGCAGGUGCUGGAUGAGACCGUUGUAGGCCGGGUUCAGCGUGAGGAGUAGCCCAAAGACCUUGUCUUGCUCUCUCCUCUUGUUCAGCUCAUCAGCAUCCGUUGUGCUUGGCCUAAGCAUCUCCAUCUCGGACCAGAGGCUCCUGAAUCUCCCUAGAUGCUUGGUGAACUCCAUGUCUUCUUGUACAAGGUUGUUGAUGGCUUGCUUCACUUCAAACACUCGGCUUAGGUUUGAUGUGUUGCCAUACACCUUCUUCAACGUAUCCCACAGCUCCUUAGCAGACUCACAGUAGCUGUAUGCAUCCAGAAUAGCCGGCUCAAGUGACGCAUGAAGCACAGACAUCACCAGCAUAUCCUCUUGAUGCCACUUCUCUUCCGCCUUGCUUGCGGCCUCACCAUCAUCCUCUCCUUGAGUGAUGAGUUUUGGAGCUUCUCCGGGGGUGAUGUGCUUCCACAACCCCUUGCUUCCCACCGUGGUUCUCACCAUCCGAGACCACACCAAGUAGUUGGUUCCCUUGAAGAUCACAGCUACCUUCAUGUUCAUGUUCAUCCCACUCUCCAUGUUGAAUGAUGAACUCUCUAAGCUUCAGAAACUUUAUCUUGAGUUGAAUGACUUGUAGAACCCUUCACAGCCUCGAUCUUCAACCCACACAGCUUCAGAUGAUACACCACAACCAGUCUUGAACUUGAAAAUUACCCAGAAACUCUCAAACACACAAGAACACAAGAGUUUCUUCAAAGCUUCAACCUUGAGGCUUCAAAGAAUCACACACGACCUCAGGCUAUCACUAACCUGGCUCUGAUACCAUAUCACUUUUAGUGAUGUUUAGAGUGAUCUGAGUAUUUAGGAAAGAUUAGAAGAGAUUUAGAGAAGAUUAAAGUAUGAAAUGAGAUUAAGAGUCUAAAGAACUAAAGAGAGACUAAGAGAGACUCAUAACUUGCUUGAUAUUAUUAAUGAGAGUGAUUACACUUAUAUAUGGAGCUUGAGACACUAGGGUUUCGAUUACACAAAAGGAGAAAGCAUGUGAAGUCAAGAUACAGCUAAGGGCGCAUUUGAAUCCUUCCAAUGAGAGUCUCCACAUGUGUAAGGCAUCUUUGAAUAUGCCUUUACCUUUCCAGCUCUUGCCAGACUGUCAGACGCGCUCUUCCUUAUCCUCUCAACGUUCGGAUCAAGCUCAGCCUUAAGGUAAAGUAACUCUAGCUAGUUUACUCUUUACCUGAGCUGAGUAACUCCUUAACCGCGCAUGAUGGUACGGCCUGAUCGUCCGUACCCUUCACCCUAUCCGUACAGUCCGUACAUGAUGCUUCCAUCUUCCUCUCUAAUGCUUCUACACUUCCUAAGGUCUCCUCUUCAUACCAUAAGGCUCUCAUCUCAACAGAUUCAUCCUGGUUUGAUUGGAAGGACGAAGAAGCUGUGCUAUUCCCAAACUGGAAAACUGGAGUAUGGGAGAGACUGAGAGACUAGGAACGUGUAUGAGAGAUUAGAGAGAGACUUAGUGACAAGAUUAAGAGACUUAGUAACCAGAGAAUAAGAACUAAGAACAAGUUUAUGAAGAAGAGAGACUCUCUCAGCUUAAGGGUUUACAAAGUGAUCAUAAGAGGCUUAUAUAUGCCUUUACACAAUUCAUAUCACAAACCUAGAUCCUAAGGCUAUAAUUAAAAGAUAGAAUGGAUGGUGAGGAUGAGAGAAGACUGGUCUUGAUGUUGCUGGAGCUAGCUGGCGAUUUGACUCAAGGUAAAGGGCUCAGAUUGCUUCAUUUGAAUUGGAUGGAUAAGAUGAGUCAAGGCUGUAAAGGUAAAGCACCUUUAACUUUCCAGCUCAUACCAACAGCUCACCUUAUCCAUUUGAAUCUUCCCUUCCCUCCAAGUAUCCCAAACGGUCACUUAAGAUCAGAUUGAACCGCCCACACAUUGCACAUCAAGAUUUGGGGUUAACCGGAUGACAUGGGCGUGAGGAGUGGACUGUACGGUCGAUGGUACGGACCUCCUGUCCGUACCACUCGCCCUAUCUUUGUACAUUGCCCUAUCUUCCUUCUUGGUUGCACUAGACAUCUUCAUGGCUCACCCUAGACNNNNNNNNNNNNNNNNNNNNNNNNNNNNNNNNNNNNNNNNNNNNNNNNNNNNNNNNNNNNNNNNNNNNNNNNNNNNNNNNNNNNNNNNNNNNNNNNNNNNNNNNNNNNNNNNNNNNNNNNNNNNNNNNNNNNNNNNNNNNNNNNNNNNNNNNNNNNNNNNNNNNNNNNNNNNNNNNNNNNNNNNNNNNNNNNNNNNNNNNNNNNNNNNNNNNNNNNNNNNNNNNNNNNNNNNNNNNNNNNNNNNNNNNNNNNNNNNNNNNNNNNNNNNNNNNNNNNNNNNNNNNNNNNNNNNNNNNNNNNNNNNNNNNNNNNNNNNNNNNNNNNNNNNNNNNNNNNNNNNNNNNNNNNNNNNNNNNNNNNNNNNNNNNNNNNNNNNNNNNNNNNNNNNNNNNNNNNNNNNNNNNNNNNNNNNNNNNNNNNNNNNNNNNNNNNNNNNNNNNNNNNNNNNNNNNNNNNNNNNNNNNNNNNNNNNNNNNNNNNNNNNNNNNNNNNNNNNNNNNNNNNNNNNNNNNNNNNNNNNNNNNNNNNNNNNNNNNNNNNNNNNNNNNNNNNNNNNNNNNNNNNNNNNNNNNNNNNNNNNNNNNNNNNNNNNNNNNNNNNNNNNNNNNNNNNNNNNNNNNNNNNNNNNNNNNNNNNNNNNNNNNNNNNNNNNNNNNNNNNNNNNNNNNNNNNNNNNNNNNNNNNNNNNNNNNNNNNNNNNNNNNNNNNNNNNNNNNNNNNNNNNNNNNNNNNNNNNNNNNNNNNNNNNNNNNNNNNNNNNNNNNNNNNNNNNNNNNNNNNNNNNNNNNNNNNNNNNNNNNNNNNNNNNNNNNNNNNNNNNNNNNNNNNNNNNNNNNNNNNNNNNNNNNNNNNNNNNNNNNNNNNNNNNNNNNNNNNNNNNNNNNNNNNNNNNNNNNNNNNNNNNNNNNNNNNNNNNNNNNNNNNNNNNNNNNNNNNNNNNNNNNNNNNNNNNNNNNNNNNNNNNNNNNNNNNNNNNNNNNNNNNNNNNNNNNNNNNNNNNNNNNNNNNNNNNNNNNNNNNNNNNNNNNNNNNNNNNNNNNNNNNNNNNNNNNNNNNNNNNNNNNNNNNNNNNNNNNNNNNNNNNNNNNNNNNNNNNNNNNNNNNNNNNNNNNNNNNNNNNNNNNNNNNNNNNNNNNNNNNNNNNNNNNNNNNNNNNNNNNNNNNNNNNNNNNNNNNNNNNNNNNNNNNNNNNNNNNNNNNNNNNNNNNNNNNNNNNNNNNNNNNNNNNNNNNNNNNNNNNNNNNNNNNNNNNNNNNNNNNNNNNNNNNNNNNNNNNNNNNNNNNNNNNNNNNNNNNNNNNNNNNNNNNNNNNNNNNNNNNNNNNNNNNNNNNNNNNNNNNNNNNNNNNNNNNNNNNNNNNNNNNNNNNNNNNNNNNNNNNNNNNNNNNNNNNNNNNNNNNNNNNNNNNNNNNNNNNNNNNNNNNNNNNNNNNNNNNNNNNNNNNNNNNNNNNNNNNNNNNNNNNNNNNNNNNNNNNNNNNNNNNNNNNNNNNNNNNNNNNNNNNNNNNNNNNNNNNNNNNNNNNNNNNNNNNNNNNNNNNNNNNNNNNNNNNNNNNNNNNNNNNNNNNNNNNNNNNNNNNNNNNNNNNNNNNNNNNNNNNNNNNNNNNNNNNNNNNNNNNNNNNNNNNNNNNNNNNNNNNNNNNNNNNNNNNNNNNNNNNNNNNNNNNNNNNNNNNNNNUAUCACUUUUGAGUGAUGAAAUCUAUAAUCUGAGUUUAGAUAAGAAUAGAGAAGAGAUUAGAGUAGAUUAAGGAGAUUAAGAGACUAAAUGAGAAUCAUUGUGCAAAGUAUAGAGAGAUUGAUUUGUUUAGAACUGUCUAAUCUUUAUUAGGAGAUGAGGUUACAUAUUUAUAGUCUAAGCAGCAAGGGUUUCGAAAACCUAAUUAGAGACUCUAAGCAUGUGUGGUCAAACGGAUAAGGCUGGCCGAGUUUGAAUCCAUCCAAUGAAGGCUCCCGCACGUUUGAUGCCUUUGGGAUCUUUGACUAAAGUAUCUUUUGCCUUUCCAGCUGUGCCAGUCUGUCAAGGCGCCUCUUAUCCCUUCCUCAACGGUCUGAUGGAUCAGAUAAGUUCCCAAGACUUUACCCGCGGCUUGCUUCAUCUGGAUGAGUUACUCGGGUAACUUAUAGUUACCAUCCUGUACGGCCUUGUACGGAAUGUACGGCCUUGUACGGUCCAUUCCUCCCAAGUCCAUCCUAACUCCUUCAUGUCUCAUCUCCUCUCACUUCUCUAGUCCCUUCAUGCUUCUCACUUAAUCAUCUCCAUAACUUAACACUCCCCCUCAAGCUUAGCUUUGUGAAAGCCUAAGCUUGGAUAGCCAUGAGAUCUUCCUCAUUAAAAACCUCACCAAAGAAAACCCAAUGGGACAAACCUUUGAUGAGGGAAAAAGAGUAAAGACCUCAUGACUUAGGGGAUCAGCUCCUUCUCUUCCCAAGAUCAAUGAGCCCCAAUCUAAUGUGAAUGGACUCCAUUGUCUUUUGCCUUGCAGCCUUGGUGAACACAUCUGCUAACUGAUCUUCACUUCUAGUGUAGCAUGGCAAGAUCACUCCUAGCACAAUCAUCUGCCUCACCUUGUGACAAUCAACCUCAAUGUGCUUGGUUCUCUCAUGAAACACUGAGUUGGAGGCAAUGUGGAUGGCAGCUUGGUUAUCACAAUGCAUUGUCAUUGGCGUGGCUUGAUCAAUCUCCAAGUGCUUCAAGAUCCCUUUGAUCCACACCAACUCGUUGGUAAGCUUCAGCAUAGCUCUAUACUCAGCUUCUGCACUUGAACAAGACACCACCUUCUGCUUCUUACUCUUCCAAGUAACCAAGUUGCCUCCAAUGAAUGUGCAAUAGCCUGUGGUUGAUCUCCUGUCUGCUCUAUCACCAGCCCAAUCCGCAUCACAGUAUCCAACCACUUCAGUGCUUCCAUUGCAACCCAUCCAUACUCCUUGAUCAGGUGAGCCGUUGAGAUACAUCAAGAUCCUCUCCACCAUGCGCCAGUGAUGCUCCUUAGGCACUUGCAUGUGUUGACUCACCUGAUUCACAGCAAAACAAAUGUCAGGCCUAGUUAUGGUAAGAUAAAUCAAUUUGCCAACUAGCUUUCUAUAGAGUUUAGGAUCCUGAUAAGGUUUGCUGUCUUCAAUCUCCCCCUCUCGUGGGACUUUGUAGCCAUCCUCCAUAGGCAUCCUUGCUGUCUUGCCUCCAUAAGCACCUGCACCUUUCAAAAGAUCAAGUGUAUAUUUCCUUUGAGACAUAAACAAACCUUCCUUGGAUCUACAUAUCUCAAUUCCAAGGAAGUAUUUCAUCUCUCCCAAGUCUUUAAUCUCAAACAUGGAUUUAAGGAACUCCUUGGUUGCUGUGAUACCUUCCUUAUCACUUCCUGUGAUAAUGAUAUCAUCAACAUACACAAGGAGAGCAAUCAUACCUGAGGGGGUAGUGAGAGUGAAGAGGGUGUGAUCUAGUUCAGACUUCUUGAAGCCUCGGCCAUUCAGAGUAGUACUCAGCUUGUUGUACCAAGCUCUUGGUGAUUGCUUCAGCCCAUAGAUAGCUUUCUUCAGUCUCAACACAUUUCCUCUCUUCACCAAGUGUUCCAAGCCUGGAGGUGGAUGCAUAUACACUUCAUCCUCCAGCUCUCCUUGUAGAAAAGCAUUCUUCACAUCCAUUUGCCAUAAGCCCCAUCCAAGGUUCACAGCUAAGCUCAAUACAAUCCGGAUUGUGUGUAGUUUGGCUACUGGUGCAAAGGUCUCAAUGUAAUCUUCUCCAUAAGUUUGAGUAAAGCCUCUUGCAACCAGUCUUGACUUCUUCCUCUCAAUCUUCCCAUCAGCCUUAUACUUGAUUGUGAAGAUCCAUCUACUAGUCACAGCCUUCUUCCCUUUUGGUAACUCACUCUCAUACCAUGUAUCAUUCUUGAUCAUAGCUCCUGCUUCAGCUCCAACUGAUUCCUUCCAUUCUUUAUCCAUCAUUGCCUCUUCAUAGCUUCUUGGUAUGUAGUUCUCAUCCAAGUUUACCAUAAAGGCACAAUGUUCUUCAGGAUAUUGAGCAAAGGAACACACAGCUUGAGAAGGAUGCUCCACAGCUUGGGCAUUGUAGUACACUCGCGUGUUUACCCAACUAGAAGGAUCCUUUCUCAGCCUUGUGCUUCUCCUCAAUACUGGUUGGUUCUGAACCUGCUCCUCUUGGACAUUUGGUUCUGGUGCUUCAGCCUGAGCUUCUACUUCUCCUUGGCUUUGAUCACCUUGAUUGUGAGAGCCUGAAACACUCUCUUCUUCUUCUUCACUCAAGCCGGCUCCAUCCUGACCAUCUUCUUGAGUUUCAGAUUCCCUUCCCCCCUCACGAUCAAGGUGAGGUGAUUGAUUAGCUUCAACAGGGGCCGGAGAACUCUCAUGUUGGUUCCUACUCCCCACAUUUGGAUCCUGGUUCAUCUUGAUACCUAGACCUUCCAAGAUCAGUCUUAAAGCUCCGGCCUUAUCUGAUGUUAAAUCCUUUAGCUCCUCUUGAUUCUUUUCUUCAUAGUAUCCUCUUGCUUCUAUGAACUUCACAUCUCUAGAGAUUAGGACUCUUCUAGUUGCUGGAUCAUAACACUUGUAUCCCUUUUGUGUUGUUGAGUAGCCAAUGAACAUGGCCUUAGUGCUCCUUGCAUCCAGCUUGUUUCUCAACUCUCCUGGUAUCAACACAAAGCAUAGACAUCCAAAUACUCUCAAGUAAUCCACUGAUGGCUUGUGCUUGUUUAGAACUUCAAAUGGUGCUUGAUCCUUCAACACCUUUGUGGGAAUCCUGUUGAUCAAAUAACAAGCAGUAGCCACAGCAUCACUCCAAAACCUCUUUGGAACAUUUGCUUGGAACAUCAGUGACCUAGCAACCUCCAUCAAGUGUCGGUUCUUUCUCUCAGCUACCCCAUUCUGUUGUGGAGUAUAAGGACAGCUUGUUUGAUGCAGGAUCCCAUGAUGCUCUAGAUGACUCUUGAACGCAUAGCUUGUGUACUCCCCUCCAUUAUCUGAUCUAAAAAUUUUAAUCUUGGCAUUAUAAUGGUUAGUCACAUAAGCUUGAAAGUUCUUAAAUGCAUCUAUUACUCUAUCUUUUGAUGGGAUUAAAGUUAACCAGGUGUAUUUGGAUUUUUCAUCAAUGAAUGUGACAAAGUAUUUAUGAUUGUCUCUAGAUAUGCAAGGUGCAGUCCACACAUCAGAAUGAAUAAGAUCAAAGCACUUAUCAUAAACACUAGUAGAGUUUGGAAAUACAGUUUUACAAUGCUUGCCUAAGAUGCAAGCUUCACAAUCCUUAUUCUCAAAUAAAACACCUGGUAACAUCAAGUUCAAAGCUCUACCAUGAGGAUGUCCUAAUCUAGCAUGCCACAAAGCAUUUUUAUUUAAACUAGAAGCAUUAAACGAGCAAUUGUAAUUGGAAACAGGAUCAAGUUCUUCAAGCAAGUACAACUCUCCUUUAGUGAUUCCUUUUCCAAUCAAGUGGCUGCUCUCAAUAUCCUGAAACUUUACAUCAUUAGGACUGAAUAUAACAUUGCAAUUCAAAUCAGUUGUGCAUUUCUUAACAGAUAGCAAGUUAGAUGUAAAUUCAGGCAUGUAGAAAGCUCUAGUGUUCUUAUCAAACAACUUCAAGUUUCCUAUUCCUCUAAUAGGGAUCUUGUCCCCAUUUGCAAUCAUGACAUGUCCACUAGUUGGUUCUAUAUCCUUAAUCAGAUUUGUAUCACUAAUCAUGUGAUGAGAUGCACCAGAAUCAACAAUUAAUGGCUUAGUUACAUUGCUAGCAUUAUGACACAGGUUCAAAGGUGAUCUAAAUGCAUUUAGUUCAUGAUUCAUCCUAGCAUUUCUAGCAAAGGUGUACUCAUAUCUAGCCUGUUCAUUGCUUUCAACUAUAUCCAUCCUAGCAAUAUCAGUAACAUAAGGAGAGGUUUCUAUAGUCUUAGCUAUCAUGGAUGCACCAAAGGAGUACCCAUGAGUGUUACCAUUCUCCUUGAGCAUUUUGAUGAGAGCAUCCAUCUCGGAUCUCCUGAUGAAGUCCUGAUCAUUGCCACGGAUGUUAGGAGCUCCUGAGUAUGUCACCAGUGCCUUGCCAUCACCCUCACGCCUCUCUCCUUCUGCUCCACGGCUAGAUGAUCCGGCUCCACUUGUUCCUUCAGAAGCAUGAGCUUUGGCCUCCCUCUCCUUCAUGAACUUCGCUGGCUUCAGGUGAGGAUGUAGUAUCCAGCACUGGCUCUUCUUGUGUCCAUGCUUCUUGCAGUGAUCACAAUUGCCAUUGAGCUUCCUAUCUUCAUACUUGCCGUGUGCUGCUCUGUUGGCUUGUGGUAUCUCCUCAUGAUCAGUUUGCGCAGCAUUGGCUAGGGACAAGUCUCCUUUACCACCAAACAAGCCAAUGGAGCCUUGCUCCUUUUGUAUCUGAGCACACGCAUCCUCCAAGUCAGGAAGCUUAUCAGCCCUCAACAUAUGCUGAAUCAACCCACUGUAGCUUGGAUUCAAUGUCAGCAACAACCCAAAGACCUUGUCUUGCUCUCUUCUUUCAUUCAGCAGCUCCGGAUCAGUUGUGCUCGGCCUCAGCAUCUCCAGCUCUGACCAGAGUGUCCGGAACCUCCCCAAAUGCUUAGUAAACUCCAUGUCCUCCUGAGUUAGAUCAUUCAAAGCUUUCUUCACUUCAAAGACCCGGCUGAGGUUAGAGGUGUUUCCAUACACCUUCUUCAACGUUUCCCACAGCUCCUUGGCUGUCUCACAGUAGCUGUAAGCAUCAAGAAUGGCUGGCUCCAAUGAGCUAUGAAGAGCAGACAUCACCAUCAUGUCCUCUUGUUGCCACUUCUCAGCUUCAGCUUCCGAGACACUCUCCGUGUCUCCUUCUUGAGUAAUGAGUUUUGGAGCCUCACCAGAUGUGAUGUGCUUCCAUAAACCCUUACUUCCCACAGCAGUCUUCACCAUCCUAGACCAUACUAGGUAGUUACUUCCCUUGAAAGUCACAGCAACCUUCAUCUUGGAACCACUCUCCAUCUUAAGCGGCUUCACUUCAAUAACUUGUAACAGACUUGAUCUUGAGACUCAGAACUACACCACCAGCUCAAACCCUUCCGUGCCUUGUCUUUACUCUUCAAGGAACCCUCAAACAGCUAGAUAAGACUCCCGGAAUGAAGAUGUAGCUCUCGGGAUGCAGCUUCUUCCAAGAACACUCACACCACUCUCACUUGAUCUCUCAAAGUUUCAAGAUUGAAUCUUCAAGAGAAAACACCAAGAACUCAGAUUGAAAUCAACCUGGCUCUGAUACCAUAUCACUUUUGAGUGAUGAAAUCUAUAAUCUGAGUUUAGAUAAGAAUAGAGAAGAGAUUAGAGUAGAUUAAGGAGAUUAAGAGACUAAAUGAGAAUCAUUGUGCAAAGUAUAGAGAGAUUGAUUUGUUUAGAACUGUCUAAUCUUUAUUAGGAGAUGAGGUUACAUAUUUAUAGUCUAAGCAGCAAGGGUUUCGAAAACCUAAUUAGAGACUCUAAGCAUGUGUGGUCAAACGGAUAAGGCUGGCCGAGUUUGAAUCCAUCCAAUGAAGGCUCCCGCACGUUUGAUGCCUUUGGGAUCUUUGACUAAAGUAUCUUUUGCCUUUCCAGCUGUGCCAGUCUGUCAAGGCGCCUCUUAUCCCUUCCUCAACGGUCUGAUGGAUCAGAUAAGUUCCCAAGACUUUACCCGCGGCUUGCUUCAUCUGGAUGAGUUACUCGGGUAACUUAUAGUUACCAUCCUGUACGGCCUUGUACGGAAUGUACGGCCUUGUACGGUCCAUUCCUCCCAAGUCCAUCCUAACUCCUUCAUGUCUCAUCUCCUCUCACUUCUCUAGUCCCUUCAUGCUUCUCACUUAAUCAUCUCCAUAACUUAACACUCCCCCUCAAGCUUAGCUUUGUGAAAGCCUAAGCUUGGAUAGCCAUGAGAUCUUCCUCAUUAAAAACCUCACCAAAGAAAACCCAAUGGGACAAACCUUUGAUGAGGGAAAAAGAGUAAAGACCUCAUGACUUAGGGGAUCAGCUCCUUCUCUUCCCAAGAUCAAUGAGCCCCAAUCUAAUGUGAAUGGACUCCAUUGUCUUUUGCCUUGCAGCCUUGGUGAACACAUCUGCUAACUGAUCUUCACUUCUAGUGUAGCAUGGCAAGAUCACUCCUAGCACAAUCAUCUGCCUCACCUUGUGACAAUCAACCUCAAUGUGCUUGGUUCUCUCAUGAAACACUGAGUUGGAGGCAAUGUGGAUGGCAGCUUGGUUAUCACAAUGCAUUGUCAUUGGCGUGGCUUGAUCAAUCUCCAAGUGCUUCAAGAUCCCUUUGAUCCACACCAACUCGUUGGUAAGCUUCAGCAUAGCUCUAUACUCAGCUUCUGCACUUGAACAAGACACCACCUUCUGCUUCUUACUCUUCCAAGUAACCAAGUUGCCUCCAAUGAAUGUGCAAUAGCCUGUGGUUGAUCUCCUGUCUGCUCUAUCACCAGCCCAAUCCGCAUCACAGUAUCCAACCACUUCAGUGCUUCCAUUGCAACCCAUCCAUACUCCUUGAUCAGGUGAGCCGUUGAGAUACAUCAAGAUCCUCUCCACCAUGCGCCAGUGAUGCUCCUUAGGCACUUGCAUGUGUUGACUCACCUGAUUCACAGCAAAACAAAUGUCAGGCCUAGUUAUGGUAAGAUAAAUCAAUUUGCCAACUAGCUUUCUAUAGAGUUUAGGAUCCUGAUAAGGUUUGCUGUCUUCAAUCUCCCCCUCUCGUGGGACUUUGUAGCCAUCCUCCAUAGGCAUCCUUGCUGUCUUGCCUCCAUAAGCACCUGCACCUUUCAAAAGAUCAAGUGUAUAUUUCCUUUGAGACAUAAACAAACCUUCCUUGGAUCUACAUAUCUCAAUUCCAAGGAAGUAUUUCAUCUCUCCCAAGUCUUUAAUCUCAAACAUGGAUUUAAGGAACUCCUUGGUUGCUGUGAUACCUUCCUUAUCACUUCCUGUGAUAAUGAUAUCAUCAACAUACACAAGGAGAGCAAUCAUACCUGAGGGGGUAGUGAGAGUGAAGAGGGUGUGAUCUAGUUCAGACUUCUUGAAGCCUCGGCCAUUCAGAGUAGUACUCAGCUUGUUGUACCAAGCUCUUGGUGAUUGCUUCAGCCCAUAGAUAGCUUUCUUCAGUCUCAACACAUUUCCUCUCUUCACCAAGUGUUCCAAGCCUGGAGGUGGAUGCAUAUACACUUCAUCCUCCAGCUCUCCUUGUAGAAAAGCAUUCUUCACAUCCAUUUGCCAUAAGCCCCAUCCAAGGUUCACAGCUAAGCUCAAUACAAUCCGGAUUGUGUGUAGUUUGGCUACUGGUGCAAAGGUCUCAAUGUAAUCUUCUCCAUAAGUUUGAGUAAAGCCUCUUGCAACCAGUCUUGACUUCUUCCUCUCAAUCUUCCCAUCAGCCUUAUACUUGAUUGUGAAGAUCCAUCUACUAGUCACAGCCUUCUUCCCUUUUGGUAACUCACUCUCAUACCAUGUAUCAUUCUUGAUCAUAGCUCCUGCUUCAGCUCCAACUGAUUCCUUCCAUUCUUUAUCCAUCAUUGCCUCUUCAUAGCUUCUUGGUAUGUAGUUCUCAUCCAAGUUUACCAUAAAGGCACAAUGUUCUUCAGGAUAUUGAGCAAAGGAACACACAGCUUGAGAAGGAUGCUCCACAGCUUGGGCAUUGUAGUACACUCGCGUGUUUACCCAACUAGAAGGAUCCUUUCUCAGCCUUGUGCUUCUCCUCAAUACUGGUUGGUUCUGAACCUGCUCCUCUUGGACAUUUGGUUCUGGUGCUUCAGCCUGAGCUUCUACUUCUCCUUGGCUUUGAUCACCUUGAUUGUGAGAGCCUGAAACACUCUCUUCUUCUUCUUCACUCAAGCCGGCUCCAUCCUGACCAUCUUCUUGAGUUUCAGAUUCCCUUCCCCCCUCACGAUCAAGGUGAGGUGAUUGAUUAGCUUCAACAGGGGCCGGAGAACUCUCAUGUUGGUUCCUACUCCCCACAUUUGGAUCCUGGUUCAUCUUGAUACCUAGACCUUCCAAGAUCAGUCUUAAAGCUCCGGCCUUAUCUGAUGUUAAAUCCUUUAGCUCCUCUUGAUUCUUUUCUUCAUAGUAUCCUCUUGCUUCUAUGAACUUCACAUCUCUAGAGAUUAGGACUCUUCUAGUUGCUGGAUCAUAACACUUGUAUCCCUUUUGUGUUGUUGAGUAGCCAAUGAACAUGGCCUUAGUGCUCCUUGCAUCCAGCUUGUUUCUCAACUCUCCUGGUAUCAACACAAAGCAUAGACAUCCAAAUACUCUCAAGUAAUCCACUGAUGGCUUGUGCUUGUUUAGAACUUCAAAUGGUGCUUGAUCCUUCAACACCUUUGUGGGAAUCCUGUUGAUCAAAUAACAAGCAGUAGCCACAGCAUCACUCCAAAACCUCUUUGGAACAUUUGCUUGGAACAUCAGUGACCUAGCAACCUCCAUCAAGUGUCGGUUCUUUCUCUCAGCUACCCCAUUCUGUUGUGGAGUAUAAGGACAGCUUGUUUGAUGCAGGAUCCCAUGAUGCUCUAGAUGACUCUUGAACGCAUAGCUUGUGUACUCCCCUCCAUUAUCUGAUCUAAAAAUUUUAAUCUUGGCAUUAUAAUGGUUAGUCACAUAAGCUUGAAAGUUCUUAAAUGCAUCUAUUACUCUAUCUUUUGAUGGGAUUAAAGUUAACCAGGUGUAUUUGGAUUUUUCAUCAAUGAAUGUGACAAAGUAUUUAUGAUUGUCUCUAGAUAUGCAAGGUGCAGUCCACACAUCAGAAUGAAUAAGAUCAAAGCACUUAUCAUAAACACUAGUAGAGUUUGGAAAUACAGUUUUACAAUGCUUGCCUAAGAUGCAAGCUUCACAAUCCUUAUUCUCAAAUAAAACACCUGGUAACAUCAAGUUCAAAGCUCUACCAUGAGGAUGUCCUAAUCUAGCAUGCCACAAAGCAUUUUUAUUUAAACUAGAAGCAUUAAACGAGCAAUUGUAAUUGGAAACAGGAUCAAGUUCUUCAAGCAAGUACAACUCUCCUUUAGUGAUUCCUUUUCCAAUCAAGUGGCUGCUCUCAAUAUCCUGAAACUUUACAUCAUUAGGACUGAAUAUAACAUUGCAAUUCAAAUCAGUUGUGCAUUUCUUAACAGAUAGCAAGUUAGAUGUAAAUUCAGGCAUGUAGAAAGCUCUAGUGUUCUUAUCAAACAACUUCAAGUUUCCUAUUCCUCUAAUAGGGAUCUUGUCCCCAUUUGCAAUCAUGACAUGUCCACUAGUUGGUUCUAUAUCCUUAAUCAGAUUUGUAUCACUAAUCAUGUGAUGAGAUGCACCAGAAUCAACAAUUAAUGGCUUAGUUACAUUGCUAGCAUUAUGACACAGGUUCAAAGGUGAUCUAAAUGCAUUUAGUUCAUGAUUCAUCCUAGCAUUUCUAGCAAAGGUGUACUCAUAUCUAGCCUGUUCAUUGCUUUCAACUAUAUCCAUCCUAGCAAUAUCAGUAACAUAAGGAGAGGUUUCUAUAGUCUUAGCUAUCAUGGAUGCACCAAAGGAGUACCCAUGAGUGUUACCAUUCUCCUUGAGCAUUUUGAUGAGAGCAUCCAUCUCGGAUCUCCUGAUGAAGUCCUGAUCAUUGCCACGGAUGUUAGGAGCUCCUGAGUAUGUCACCAGUGCCUUGCCAUCACCCUCACGCCUCUCUCCUUCUGCUCCACGGCUAGAUGAUCCGGCUCCACUUGUUCCUUCAGAAGCAUGAGCUUUGGCCUCCCUCUCCUUCAUGAACUUCGCUGGCUUCAGGUGAGGAUGUAGUAUCCAGCACUGGCUCUUCUUGUGUCCAUGCUUCUUGCAGUGAUCACAAUUGCCAUUGAGCUUCCUAUCUUCAUACUUGCCGUGUGCUGCUCUGUUGGCUUGUGGUAUCUCCUCAUGAUCAGUUUGCGCAGCAUUGGCUAGGGACAAGUCUCCUUUACCACCAAACAAGCCAAUGGAGCCUUGCUCCUUUUGUAUCUGAGCACACGCAUCCUCCAAGUCAGGAAGCUUAUCAGCCCUCAACAUAUGCUGAAUCAACCCACUGUAGCUUGGAUUCAAUGUCAGCAACAACCCAAAGACCUUGUCUUGCUCUCUUCUUUCAUUCAGCAGCUCCGGAUCAGUUGUGCUCGGCCUCAGCAUCUCCAGCUCUGACCAGAGUGUCCGGAACCUCCCCAAAUGCUUAGUAAACUCCAUGUCCUCCUGAGUUAGAUCAUUCAAAGCUUUCUUCACUUCAAAGACCCGGCUGAGGUUAGAGGUGUUUCCAUACACCUUCUUCAACGUUUCCCACAGCUCCUUGGCUGUCUCACAGUAGCUGUAAGCAUCAAGAAUGGCUGGCUCCAAUGAGCUAUGAAGAGCAGACAUCACCAUCAUGUCCUCUUGUUGCCACUUCUCAGCUUCAGCUUCCGAGACACUCUCCGUGUCUCCUUCUUGAGUAAUGAGUUUUGGAGCCUCACCAGAUGUGAUGUGCUUCCAUAAACCCUUACUUCCCACAGCAGUCUUCACCAUCCUAGACCAUACUAGGUAGUUACUUCCCUUGAAAGUCACAGCAACCUUCAUCUUGGAACCACUCUCCAUCUUAAGCGGCUUCACUUCAAUAACUUGUAACAGACUUGAUCUUGAGACUCAGAACUACACCACCAGCUCAAACCCUUCCGUGCCUUGUCUUUACUCUUCAAGGAACCCUCAAACAGCUAGAUAAGACUCCCGGAAUGAAAAUGUAGCUCUCGGGAUGCAGCUUCUUCCAAGAACACUCACACCACUCUCACUUGAUCUCUCAAAGUUUCAAGAUUGAAUCUUCAAGAGAAAAACGCCAAGAACUCAGAUUGAAAUCAACCUGGCUCUGAUACCAUAUACUCAUUGAUCUGUACUCUGCUUCUGCACUUGAGCAAGACACCACCUUCUGCUUCUUGCUCUUCCAAGUGACCAGAUUCCCUCCAAUGAAUGUACAAUAGCCGGUGGUUAACCUUCUGUCUACUCUGUCCCCAGCCCAAUCUGCAUCACAGUAUCCUAUCACCUCAGUGUUCUUGUUGCAAGCCAUCCAUACACCCUGACCUGGCGCCUCUCACAAGUAUCUUAGGAUCCUCUCCACCAUGUUCCAGUGAUGAACCUUGGGAGUUUGCAUGUGCUGGCUUACUUGAUUAACUGGAAAGCACACAUCUGGCCGAGUGAUGGUUAGAUAGAUCAGCUUCCCAACCAUCCUUCUAUACUGCUUGACAUCUUCAAAUGGAGUAUCUUCAUACUCCCCCUCUCGCAAUACCUUGUAACCUUCUUCAAGUGGUGUCUUGGCUUGUCUUCCUCCAAGAUCUCCUGCCUCCUUUAAGAUGUCCAGGGUAUACUUUCUUUGGGACAUGAACAAUCCUUCCUUUGAUCUGCACAUCUCAAUGCCGAGGAAGUACUUCAGUUCUCCUAGGUCUUUGAUAUCAAAUGCGGCUUUAAGAAAGGUCUUGGUUGAACUGAUCCCCUCCUUGUCACAACCAGUGAUGAUGAUAUCAUCCACAUAGACUAGAAUCACAACAAUCCCUUGCUUGCUGGUGAGAGUGAAGAGUGUGUGAUCCGCUUGAGACUUCACAAAGCCUCUCCCAUUCAGUGUAGUGCUCAGCUUGUGAUACCAAGCUCUUGGUGAUUGCUUCAAACCAUAUAUGGCUUUUCUGAGUCUGAGUACAUUCCCUGGUUUCACCAUCUUUUCCAUUCCCGGCGGUGGUCUCAUAUAUACCUCAUCUUCUAGUUCACCUUGCAAGAAGGCAUUCUUCACAUCCAUUUGCCAAAGAUCCCACUCUUGAUUUACUGCCAAUGAGAGGAUGAUCCGGAUUGUGUGAAGCUUGGUCACUGGUGCAAAGGUGUCUAGAUAGUCUUCUCCAUAAACUUGUGUGUAUCCUCUUGCUACCAAUCUGGUCUUCUUUCUUUCUGGCUUCCCAUUUGCAAGAUACUUGAUGGUGUGUAUGAGUCUGCUGGUCACGGCCUUCUUCCCUUUUGGAAGCUCUGUCUCAUACCAGGUGUUGUUCCUCUCCAUGGCUCCCAUUUCAUCAUUCACUGAUUCCCUCCAUUCAUCAUCUUCCAUAGCUUCUGCAUAUGUUCUUGGUAUCCAUUCCUGAUCCAAUGAACCCACAAAGGCUUGAUGUUCUUCUGAAUAGUGAGCUAGGGAGCACACGCCACUGGGUGGGUGAGCUACUGCCUCUGCAUUGAAGUAGACUCUGGUGUUGUUCCAGUUUGAAGCCGGCUUCUUGAUCCUAGUACUUCUCCUAAGUACUGGCUGAUCAUUUUCAUUCUGAGUGCCUUCUCCACCUUCCAAGUUCUGAUUCUGAUCCUCCACUUGGUCAUGGUGCUCUUCUUGAUCAUGAACUUCCUCAGAUACAGGUGGUACACCCUGAUUUCCCCCCUCAGGAUCAAGGGGAGCAGCUUCUUGGAUCUCAACUUCAUCUGUAGUUGUCUCGGUCUGCUCUUCAGAUCGGCUUGAUCCUCCCACAUUAUCUGAUCCUGCUUGUCCCGGCUCUUCCAUAGGUAAGCUGACCCCAAGUCUCCUCAUGACUUAUCUGAGACCCCAAGUCUCCUCAUGACUUGUCUGAGAUUGGCUGCUCUAUCUGAUGCGGAUUGAGACAAGUUCUCCAACUCAUCCCAAUCCUUGUUGUUGUAGUACCCUCUGGUUUCUACAAACUUCACAUCUCUAGAUACCAAGACUCUCCUAGUCUCUGGUUCAUAGCACUUAUAGCCCUUCUGGUUUGGUGAAUACCCAAUGAACAUAGCUCUUGUGCUCUUAGCCUCCAGUUUGUUCCUUAGUUCUCCUGGUUUCAAAACAAAACAAAGGCACCCAAACACACGCAUAUGAUCAAUAGAUGGUUUAGCUUUGUUCAAUACCUCAAAUGGAAAGUGAUCUUGUAGAACUCUGGUAGGAAUUCGGUUGAUCAGGUAGCAUGCAGUUAGGACCGCAUCUCCCCAAAAACUCUUUGGGACACUAGUAUGGAACAUCAUGCUCCUAGUGACCUCCAUGAGAUGCCUGUUCUUCCUCUCGGCCACACCAUUUUGUUGUGGAGUGUAUGGACAGCUGGUUUGAUGGAUCACACCCCGUUUGGCUAGAUGAGCUUUGAAUGCAUUGCUGGUGUAAUCUCCUCCAUUAUCUGAUCUCAAAAUCUUAACUUUGGCAUUAUAAUGGUUAGAGACAUAUGUUUCAAAGUUUAUAAAUGCAUCUAAGACCCUAUCCUUUGAUUGUAAGAGAGUGAUCCAUGUGUACUUGGAUUUCUCAUCAAUAAAGGUCACAAAAUACUUGUGAUGUUCUCUAGAAAGACAUGGAGCUGUCCAUACAUCCGAGUGGAUUAAAUCAAAGCAAUGUUCAUAGAUUGUACUAGACUUGGGAAAUACAGUUUUGCAAUGUUUUCCUAAGAUACAAGCUUCACAAUCUUGUUGGAAUGAAAUACUAGGUAACAUGAUGUUCAAGGCAUGAGAAUGAGGAUGUCCUAAUCUAGCAUGCCACAUUACAUCUUUAGGGAAAUUAAAACUUGAAUUGAAAGCAACAGAUAGAUCGGAUGCAAGCUUAGUGUCUUCUAGCAAGUACAGGUUUCCCUUGCUCACACCUUUGCCAAGCAACCUACAUGAGUCAAUAUCCUGAAAGUAGACAUCAUCAGGCGUAAAUAUAACAUUGCAAUUCAAGUCAUUGGUCACCCUUUUCACAGAUAAUAGAUUAGAAGUGAAACUAGGCAUGUAGAAGGCUUUGGAUUCUUUCUCAAAUAAUUUCAGUUCCCCUAUGCCUUUAAUUGGAACCUUGUUACCAUCAGCUAUCAUAACAUUUCCUACUGCAGGAGUGAUAUUUUUAAUCAAGUUUAAAUCACUAAUCAUAUGAUGAGAGGCUCCUGAGUCUAUGACUAAGGGUUUAACUCUAUCAGAUUCAUGAGCAACUUGAAAAGCCGUGAAUAAACUCCUAGGCAAUUGAUAUGAUGCACUAAGAGAGGUACCAAGAGUUUUACCAGACUCCUUGAGAGCUUUGAUGAGUGCCCCAAUGUCAGAUUUCUUGAUGGACUCAUCCUGGUUUCCCUUACCCUGAUGAGUGCGGUAGGCUGUGGAAGCUUCUCCUACAUCACCUGAGUAGUUUGCUCGACCAUCAGUCUUGAACUUAGCUGGUUUGAGGUGUGGGUGAAGUAUCCAGCACUUGUCCUUGCCGUGACCCUUCCUCUUGCAAUGAUCACACACCCACACUUUCUUUUCCUCCGGCUUGUAGUACCCUUUGUUGGCUACUCCGGCAGGUUUGCUCUCGGCUCCUUCAGCUUGAUUGGCCAUCACCAGCUCUCCUUUUCUCUUAAAGAGACCCACUGAUCCAUGCUCCUUCUGAAUCUCAGCACACACUUCAUCUAGAGAUGGGAGCUCCUUGUUCCUCAGUAUGUGCCUAAUAAGGUCAUCAUACCCUGGGUUGAGAGUGAGCAGCAAGGCAAAGACCUUAUCCUGCUCCCUUCUUUCAUGUAGAACAUCCGGACAACUGUGGCAGGUCUGAGCAUCUCUAGCUCAGCCCAUAGGGACCGGAACUUCCCAAAAUGAGCAUCAAAGUCUGUGUCCUCUUGACUAAGAGAGUUGAUUGCUCCUUUUACUUCAUACACCUUGCUGAUAUUGGAUUUGUUGGCAUACACCUUCUUGAGAGUGUCCCACAGCUCCUUAGAAGUUUCACAAAAUGCAUAAGCCUCUUGGAGAGAAGGGGCGAGGCUAUUCUGGAUGAUAGACAACACCAUGAGGUCCUCCUGACCUUUCUUCUUAUCCCCAGCAUCUGCAACCACCACUUCUUUGCCAUCCUCUCCUAGGACGGUGUUCUUGGUGGGGCGGCCUUCUUCAACAAUCUCCCAAAGACCUCUGCCUCCGAGAGCUGUUUUGGCAAGUCUUGCCCAUGUCAGGUAGUUAGGACCCUUGAGAGUAACUGGUAUCAUCACCAUCUUUGGGUUCUCGGAGGUAUCCAUCAAGAGAAAGAGAGAAAGAGAAACAAAAGUUUUGGAUGAACUUUGCUAUUUUUGGCAAAUUCUGGAAAUGAGAUUGAAGAAUACCUCAAGAACAGGAUGAACUUUGCCAAAAAUAGAAAUAAAACACAGAGAGUUCGCGGAAGAAAAAGAGAUUUAGGUCUCAAGAGCAAAGCAGCUCUGAUACCAUGUGAGUUUUAGAAGAUUAAGGAGAGAUUAAGAGAGAAGAGUGAGAGAUGGAGAGAGUUUCCGUGAGAGUGUGACAAAGAGAAUAGAAGGAGAAUUAGUUUCCCUUACUUAAUUUGUUACAUAUGACAGGAUAUUUAAAGGCAUACAAGAAUGAAUAAACAAUGAGAAGAUAGUACAAGGAAAAGAAUAAACAAAGAGGAAGCAGAUCAGCGGAUGGCUCGUCCAACAAGAGGGAUAGUGACAGCUCCCAAAGGUCAGCUCCCUCUCUCUUCUCUUAGGCACACCCGUGACUCCUCCACUCACUUCUCCUCAACGGAUACAUGUCGACAUUCCCACUCACUAGGAGAUCUUUUAAUCACCUGACCGAGUUGGUUAACUCAUGACUUGCUUCCUUUCCUUGCAAGUCACUCUUAGGUUGUACGGACAGCCUUGUUCUCCAAGUUCCUAUCUUCUUGCUUUAUUCUUCAUGUCAACAAAGGCAUCUUGAAGCACCUGGAGAUUGAUCAAGCCACUCCAAUGACAAUGCAUUGUGACAAUCAAGCUGCUAAUCACAUUGCAUCCAACUCGGUGUUCCAUGAGAGAACCAAGCACAUUGAGGUUGAUUGCCACAAAGUAAGACAGAUGAUUGUGCUAGGAGUGAUCUUGCCGUGCUAUACUAGAAGUGAAGAUCAGUUGGCUGAUGUGUUCACCAAGGCUGCGAGACAAAAGACUAUGGAGUCCAUUCACAUCAGAUUGGGACUCAUAGAUCUUGGGAAGAGAAGAAGCUGAUCCCCUUAGCUGUGAGAUCUUUACUCUUUUUUCGUCAUUAAGGUUUUGUCCCAAUGGGUUUUCCUUAGUGAGGUUUUUUAAUGAGGAAGAUCUCAUGGCUGUCCAAGCUUAGACUUUCACAAAGCUAAGCUUGAGGGGGAGUGUUGAGAUGAGGAGUAGUUAUGGAGUGUUGAAGUUACUUGGGUGGAGAAAGUUACCACAGUAAAUAUUAGUUACUGUGGUAAAAAGGGUUAAAGGAAGUUACCUUAGUAAAAGGAGUUACUUGAGAGUGAAAUGGGUAAAGAGAAACUUACCAGGAAGAGAGGAGUGUGCGCUGAGGUUAGGAUAGGGUUGUGGAUAAGGUGGAGAGCCUUGACAGGCUGUGACAGGCUGGAAAGGCAAAGCAUCUUAGUCCAAGAUGCCUCACACACGAUCACACUCUCAUUGGCUAAUUUUGAAAUGAGGAGCCUCUUCCCUUGACUCCACAUGCUUAGAAUAGUGAUCAAAUGGAAACCCUUGUAUCUGAUCUCACUAUAUAUAUUGUAACCUCAUCAUUAAUAAGAUUAAGCAAGUUAUGAGUCUCUCUUAGUCUCUCUCAAAGUUUUCUCUCUAGACUCUUAAUCUCACUUUAUACUUUAAUCUUCUCUAAACUUAUUCUAAUCUUCUCUAAACACUCAGAUUACUCUUAACAUCACUAAAAGUGAUAGUAACUACCUGUUGUGGUCAAGACUGGUGAAGACAGCCAUUGGGAGGCUAGGGCUUUGGAGUCACAUCACGGAUGAUGCAACCAAGCCAGUGGCUAAAGACGGAGAAUGAGGUGAAGGUGUUGGAGACAAGUUGCUGCUGCCGAGAAGAAGUGGAUUCAAGAAGACUUGAUGGUGCUUUCAGUGCUACAAGGGUCCCUUGAAGAGCAUCUCUUGGAGGCCUACAGCUACUGCGAGACUCCAAAACACCUGUGGGAGGUACUCCAAAAGACUUUUGGGAAUGUUACCAAUCUGAACCGUGUGUAUGAGAUCAAGAAAGCCAUCAACACACUGGUACAAGAUGGAGAGGAGUUCACCAAGCAUUUGGGCAAGUAUAGAUCCUUGUGGUCUGAGCUUGAAUCGUUGAGGCCAAGCACCACUGAUCAAGAGCUACUCAUGGAGAGGCGGGAGCAGGAUCAGGUGUUUGGAUUGCUGUUGACACUGGAUCCUCCAUUCAAUGAUGUGAUCAUGCACAUGUUGAGGAUGCCGAGUCUCCCAUCUAUGGAGGAAGUGUGUGCGCAGAUUCAGAAAGAAGAGGGGUCACUUGGUUUGUUUGGAGGGAAAGGAGAUAUGGCUCUGUCCAACAAGGCUGAAGCAAUCCAAGCAAACAAAGCCCCUUACCGUGGAGAGGAAAGGAAGUUCAGUGGAAACUGUGACCAUUGCAAGAAGCCGGGAGACAAGAGGAUUCAGUGCUGGAUCCUACACCCCCAUCUGAAGCCGGCCAAGUUCAACAAGGAGAGAGAGGGAAGAGCUCACCUCUCUGCAGAGACAAGUGAAGCCGGCGCAUCAGGAGCUGGUUCAUCUGGUCUUGCAGGUGAAAGUGAAGGAAGAGCCUUAACCUCUCACCAACAAGGAGCCGUGAAGAACAUGGAUCAUGAGGUGAUCAAGAAGUCAGACAUUGAUGCCUUGAUCAAAGCCCUUAAAGAGUCUGGUAACACCCUCGGAAACACCCUUGGUUAUUCAUAUACUGCGUGUUGCCUAGAACUUGUGAUAGCUUGCUAGGAAACUUUGAUAGGAUGAGAACUGAACCGGAUAGAUAUAAAACCUUUGCUGCUGAUAGGAUAUCUAGAAAUGAAUCCACAUUGCUUGAUCUCAUUGAUAAAUUGAAACUGAUAAAAGAACCACCUAGGAAUCAUAUUGCUCAAGGAAUAAAACCAUUGAUUAUUGAUUCAGGUGCUUCACAUCAUAUGAUAAGUGAUGAUAGUCUUAUAAAGAAUAUAGAACCGGCUCAUGGACAUGUAAUGAUUGCAAAUGGUGAUAGAAUUCCUAUUAGAGGUGUAGGUGACUUGAAACUGUUUAAUAAGGAUUCUAAAGCUUUAUACAUGCCUGAGUUUACUUCUAAUCUAUUAUCUGUUAAGAGAUGCACCAAUGAUCUUCAAUGCAAUGUUAUUUUCAGUCCUAAUGAUGUGAAAUUUCAGGAUAUUGAAAGCAGUAAGUUGAUUGGGCAAGGAGUAACCAAAGGAGACCUUUAUUUACAUGAAGACCUUUCUUUCAUUUCUAGUUCUAGUUGCUUGUUGAGUUCCGUUUUAAGUAGAGGUGCAUUGUGGCAUUCUAGGCUAGGACAUCCACAUGUUAGAGCCUUAAGCUUAAUGUUACCAGGUGUCAUGUUUAAAAAUAAUGAGUGUGAAGCAUGUAUUUUGGGAAAACAUUGUAAGACUGUGUUCAAGAGAUCUACUACUAUCUAUGAUAAAUGCUUUGAUCUUGUUCAUUCUGAUGUAUGGACUGCUCCAUCUUUAUCUAGAGACAAUUACAAAUACUUUGUCACAUUCAUAGAUGAGAAAUCCAAAUACACCUGGAUACCACUAAUUAAAACAAAGGAUAGGGUUCUUGAUGCAUUUAGAAACUUUCAAUCAUAUGUUUCUAACCAGUAUAAUGCCAAUAUUAAGAUUUUCAGGUCUGAUAAUGGUGGAGAGUAUAAUGGCCAUGCAUUCAGGAACCAUCUAGCUCAACAUGGGAUACUUCAUCAAACGAGUUGUCCUUACACACCUCAACAAAAUGGAGUGGCUGAGAGGAAGAACAGACAUCUUAUGGAAGUGGCUAGAUCAAUGAUGUUCCAGAUGAGAGUGCCAAAGAGAUUCUGGAGUGAUGCUGUGAUCACGGCUUGCUACCUAAUCAAUAGGAUACCAACCAAGAUUCUGGAAGAUAAAGCCCCUUAUGAAGUUCUCAACAACAGCAAACCUGAUGUGAUCAUGGACCAACUAGCUAAUGAAGAUGAUGAGGAUCUAGAUAAGCCGGCUGAUGAAGAUGUUCUAGUCUUAUCUAAAGGACCUCUAACUCGAUCAAGAUCAAGGAAGCUCACGCAAGCUAUUGGAGGAUUGGUUAAGAUGUCAUGGAAGCAAGAGGAAUGUCUUGGUAAAAGCUUAAUCAGCCAAGACACACUUAUCACCAUUCAAGCUACUUCACCAUCAAGCUGAUCAUCAACUAAGCAAGCAAUCUAUGCGUGCUCUUUUUCCCUAUCUUUGAUUUUGUCCCAUUGGGUUUUCCAAAGAUAGGUUUUUAACGAGGCCAUAGAUUUGCUUCUCAAAUCUCUUAGUUGAUGAUCUCGAUCCAACCUUAUCCCGGAUCAACCUUAUGUUAUAUUAUGUCUUUCAUGUUAUGCUUUUGUUUUCAAACUUGUCUUUUGUUUCUAUUUCCAAGAGAGCCGUGUGCCUUUACUCUCUUGAUAGUUUUCGAGAAGCUUGGAGUCUGUUCCAACUUCUCUUAUAUAAGAGUACUUUGAAACCCUUAUGAAGAAUCAAUUAUUUUUGCUCAUAAACCUUUCUCUUGUUCUCUCUACUACUUGUUUCACGAGUUGUUGAGUGUUCUUGUUGGUGUGUAAUAUCCAACAGCCCAAGAGUGUCUAUCUCGGUAUGUUAUAUCCGAUCUAGUCACUUAGGAGUAUCAGGAAGCCUUUCCGCAGCCUCUUGUGUCACCAAUCGAUUCACAACCUUGUAGAGCUUGAGUCUUUGAUUCGUUCUAGCAAGGAUCUAUCCCAUACUAUCCAGAGAAGCAAUCUAGGGACGUAUUAUGUGGUAUCAGAGCAUCUCUGGUUAGGGAAGUUCUCGUUUCUCUUUUGUUUCGAUUUAAUCUGUUCAUCUUCUUGAUCAGUUUUAGAUCGAUCUGUUUUGUUUCAACUGAUCUGUUCUUUGAUUCGCAAUAUCCAUUGAUUGAUCUGUAAUCUGUGGUUGUUUGAUUGUGUGAUCUAAUCGUUCAGUGUCGAUAUAAUUGUUAAGAGUUUUGAAUUGAUAGAUCUAGGUUUCGCGCUUUUAGAUCCGAUUGUUAUCGAUUCAUAUUCUCGUUUUGAUCUUUUGUUUGAAUCUAAUUGAUCGUGUGAUCUGUUUAAAUCACCAAUAACAAUUAGAUAUACUUGUGUGUCGUCGAAAUCUGAUCAAAGAACCUACCCUGAUCUCGUUUCUAUUGUGAUUUACUUGUCUUUCACGUUGUCGAUUUGAAUCCUCUUUUGCUUGUUAAUCAAGUUUUCUUUACCGCCUGUUUAUUUUCGGUUCAAAAUCUCUUGAUCAUCUACUGAUUACGAUCAGUUUAUUGGAAUUAUUUACUGGCUGAGUGUUGUUGUUGAUUCUAGGUACCAAUGGGAAAAGAAUCAGAAGAAGAAGCCGAGCUAGUAAGGAAGAACAAGAUGCUGAGGGAGCAAAUGACCGAGCAAAUGAAUCAGACUAUGAUCUCUACAAUGGCUGAUAUGCUCAAGGCUUGCAUGAAGGAAUUACGUGAGGAGAUGAGACAAGAGUUGAGGCAAGCUACUGGCCAGGGACAUAGCAAUUGAAUCUAGAAGGAACCGGCCUACUCCAAUACGGCAAGAGCAUGCGGGUCCACAAGAGACAGACAACUACUACUCGCGCCAUAGAACUGAGCACAACCAAACUGAGCGCAGUAGUUCUUCUUCUGAACUGAGCAGAGGAAGAUCGAGGCGUGAACAUGAUGGAAGGUGGUCACGCAAAGACAAACUUUCUGGACUUAAGCUUAAGAUUCCAUCCUUCCAUGGCAAGGUUGAUCCAGAUGCCUAUUUGGAAUGGGAAAAGAAGAUCGAGCUUGUCUUCAAUUGCCAACACUACUCCAAUGCCCAAAAGAUCAAGAUUGCAGCAACUGAAUUUUAUGAUUAUGCAUUGAGUUGGUGGGAUCAGCUUGUAACUACUAGACGGCUUAACCAAGAGAAUCCGGUUGAUUCAUGGCACGAGAUGAAGUCACUCAUGCGCAAACGGUUUGUUCCAAGCCAUUAUCACCGCGAUCUACAUCAAAAGCUGCGAAGACUUACCCAAGGAACACGAACUGUUGAAGAAUACUAUCAAGACAUGGAGUUGCUGAUGUUAAGAGCUAGUAUCUUGGAGGAUAGAGAAGCUACUAUGGCAAGGUUUCUUGGAGGACUUAACCGUGAGAUACAAGACAAUGUGGAGAUGCAACACUAUGUGGAAAUAGAAGAGAUGUUGCAUAAUGCUAUUCUAGUGGAGCAGCAGCUCAAAAGGAAGGGUAACUCACGCAGCUAUGGAUCUUCUAAGUUCCACCACUCUAAGUAGGAGAAAACAUCUCAUCUGAAGGAUAUCAAGCCUCAGCAGAAAGAAGAGACUAAGCCGAGCAGCACAUACAGCAAAGACAAAGGCAAAGCUGAAAUUACUAGUUCAAGAGCUAGAGAUGUUAAGUGCUUCAAAUGUCAAGGGCGUGGGCAUUAUGCUAAUGAGUGCACCAACAAAAAGGUUAUGAUUCUUCUUGAGAAUGGAGAGUAUGAAUCAGAGGAAGAGAAGUUUGGGUCUAAUCAUGAGGAAUCUGAAGAAGAAAGUGAAGUAGAACCCGUGAAAGGAAGGUUGUUGAUGACAAGAAGGAUCCUGAACUUGCAAGCUAAGAAUGGAGAGCUUGAGCAGCGAGAGAAUCUAUUUUACACAAGGUGUAUGGUUCAGGGAAAGGUGUGCAGUCUCAUUAUUGAUGGAGGAAGUUGUGUCAAUGUAGCUAGUGAGACAAUGGUGAAGAAAUUGGGUUUGAAAAUUCAGAAACACCCAAGACCCUACAGAUUGCAGUGGCUCAAUGAGGAGGGCGAGAUGAGAGUUUCUACUCAAGUACUGGUUCCUAUAGCCAUUGGUAGAUAUGAAGAUGAAGUCUUGUGUGAUGUGUUGCCAAUGGAAGCCAGUCAUAUACUUCUUGGAAGACCCUGGCAGUAUGAUAGACGUGUGAAUCAUGAUGGCUUCACCAACAAGCACUCAUUUGAAUUCAAUGGAAAGAAGACUGUGCUGGUGCCUUUAUCUCCUAAAGAGGUUCAUGAAGAUCAACUCCAGCUUCAGAAAAAGAAAGAGAAAGAGAUUGAUCUCAAACAUGAUCAUAACAAGCAUCACAGCCUCUAUGCCAAACAGGGAGAUAUCAAAAGAAUUCUUUACUCUCAAAAUUCUAUUAUCUUGCUUAUGUUUAAGGAGACUCUACUAACAGUUACUGAUCACACACCGGAUCAUCCGAGUGAACUAGUUUCUCUUUUACAGGAGUAUGCAGAUGUGUUUCCAGAAGAUAGCCCCAUUGGAUUGCCUCCAGUGCGUGGGAUUGAGCACCAAAUUGAUUUUGUACCUGGUUCUACACUGCCCAACCGUCCAGCAUACAGGACCAAUCCAGUUGAAACUAAAGAAUUGCAAAGACAAGUAGAGGAGCUGAUGGAGAAGGGUCAUAUCCGAGAGAGCUUGAGUCCUUGUGCAGUUCCAGUGCUCUUUGUGCCUAAGAAAGAUGGGAGCUGGCGCAUGUGUGUUGAUUGUAGAGCAAUCAACAACAUAACAGUGAAGUAUCGCCACCCUAUUCCUAGAUUAGAUGAUAUGCUUGAUGAGUUGCAUGGUUCUUGCAUAUUUUCUAAGAUAGAUUUGAAAAGUGGAUAUCAUCAGAUUAGGAUGAAAGAAGGAGAUGAGUGGAAAACUGCUUUUAAAACUAAACAUGGCUUGUAUGAAUGGUUAGUUAUGCCAUUUGGAUUAACCAAUGCGCCUAGUACAUUCAUGAGACUGAUUAAUCAUAUUCUUAGGUCUUUCAUAGGCAUCUUUGUUGUUGUGUACUUUGAUGAUAUAUUAGUUUACAGCAAAUGCUUAGAAGAUCAUAUAGAACAUCUUAGGGCUGUUUUGGAUGUUUUGAGAAAAGAAAAGCUUUAUGCCAAUCUAAAGAAGUGCACUUUUUGCACAGAUAACUUGGUCUUUCUAGGUUUUGUUGUAAGUGCAGAUGGAGUAAAGGUGGAUCAGGAAAAGAUCAAAGCAAUAAAAGAGUGGCCGAGUCCAACUACAGUGGGAGAAGUAAGGAGUUUUCAUGGACUGGCAGGUUUCUAUAGGCGCUUUGUGAAGGAUUUCAGCACUCUAGCAGCUCCCCUUAUGAGAUUAAGAGAUCCUUAGAGUAAUCAGAAUAAAGAGAGUGUUUAAGAAGUGAUUAAGAGAAGUUUGUGAAAGAUUAAGAGACUAGAUAGAGCCGUUUAGAGUCUAAGAGAGAACCAUAGUGUCUAAGAGAUUAGAGAGACUCAAACUGCUUAAUGUUAUUAAUGAGUGAGGUUACAUAUUUAUAAGAGAGCUACAAGGGUUUCCAAGACUCGAAAUGGGCACUAUUGAAGCAUGUGGAGUCAAAGGUUGCUUUAGGGAUGGACGGAUGAGGGGACUCGCAUGCUUCCUCUCUUUACAGCCUGUCACAGCCUGGCAUGCUCUUCCCUUAUCCUCUCAACGUUCUGAUCCUUAUCCUCUUGAGUAACUCUUCCGCGUUUACCAUUUCACUUGGGCAAUGCACGGUAAGUUUUGGUCGAGUCUUGGAUGGUACGGACUGUACGGCUUGUACGGCCUUGUACGGACGUCCGUACCAUGCUCUCUCUAAACUCCACUCUGCCUCAUCUCUUCAUCUCCACAACCCCUCUUCUCUUCUUACUUAUAUGCUUAACUCAACUCAACACCCCUGACUGAGAUAAUCAAGAAGGAUGUAGGAUUCAAGUGGGGAGAAGUUCAAGAAGCCGCAUUCCAACUCCUUAAAGAGAAGCUUACUCAAUCUCCUCUUCUCAUACUUCCUGAUUUUUCUAAAACAUUUGAAAUAGAAUGUGAUGCCUCAGGAAUUGGAAUUGGUGAUGUGUUGAUGGAGGAUAAAAGACCUAUUGCUUAUUUCAGUGAGAAACUCAGUGGAGCUACUCUCAACUAUGCCACUUAUGACAAAGAACUCUACGCCUUGGUGAGAGCUCUACAGACUUGGCAGCAUUAUCUCUGGCCAAAGGAGUUUGUCAUUCACACCGACCAUGAAUCUCUCAAGUAUCUCAAAGGACAAAGUAAGCUCAGCAAGAGACAUGCCAGAUGGGUAGAAUUCAUUGAAACCUUCCCUUAUGUGAUCAAAUACAAACAAGGUAAGGAAAAUAUAGUUGCUGAUGCACUAUCCAGAAGGUAUGUCCUCUUAAAUACUCUUGGUGCUAAGUUGCUAGGCUUUGAGCAGAUUAAAGAAAUGUAUGAAUCUGAUCCUGACUUUCAAGAAGCUUAUAAAUCAUGUGCUAAGUAUGCUUCUGGACAUUAUUUUAGGCAUGAUGGAUUCUUAUUCUAUGACAAUCGUUUAUGUGUGCCUAAUUGCUCUUUGAGAGAUCUAUUUGUCAGGGAAUCCCAUGGAGGAAGCUUGAUGGGUCAUUUUGGUAUAGCAAAAACCCUUAAAGUUCUGCAGGAUCACUUCUAUUGGCCGCAUAUGAAAAGAGAUGUGGAGAGAAUCUGUGGAAGGUGCACAACUUGCAAGCUUGCAAAGUCUAAAGUUCAACCCCACGGUUUGUAUACUCCUUUGCCUAUUCCUACUCAUCCUUGGAAUGACAUAUCUAUGGAUUUUGUUAUGGGUUUGCCUAGAACUAGGAAUGGAAAGGAUUCUAUCUUUGUGGUUGUUGAUAGAUUCUCUAAAAUGGCACAUUUCAUAGCUUGCAAUAAAACUGAUGAUGCAUUACAUGUAGCUAAUUUGUUCUUUAAAGAAGUUGUACGUUUGCAUGGAAUACCUAGGACUAUAGUUUCAGACAGAGAUACUAAAUUCCUCAGCUACUUUUGGAAAACAUUGUGGUCUAAACUAGGAACUAAGCUAUUGUUUUCUACUACUUGUCAUCCACAAACUGAUGGGCAAACUGAAGUAGUUAAUCGAACCCUAGGGACUCUCCUGCGUGCAUUCAUCAAAAAGAACUUGAAAUCAUGGGAAGAUUACUUGCCUCAUUGUGAAUUUGCAUACAAUCAUGCUAUGCAUUCUGCUUCUAAGUUUUCUCCUUUUGAAAUUGUUUAUGGGUUCAAUCCCAUCUCACCUUUGGAUCUAAUACCUUUGCCUGAGUGUGAAAGAGUUAGUAUGGAUGGGAAAAGGAAAGCUGAGAUGGGUCAGCAGAUUCAUGAGCAAGCUAAGCGCAAUCUUGAAGAGGAAACUAAGCAAUACGCCAAACAAGCUAACAAGGGAAGGCGUGAGAUGAUCUUUGAAGUUGGAGAUCAAGUAUGGGUUCACUUGAGGAAAGAGAGGUUUCCAAAAGAGAGGAAGUCUAAGUUAAUGCCGAGAAUUGAUGGCCCUUUUGAAGUCACCAAGAGGAUCAAUGACAAUGCCUACAAACUUGAUCUGCAAGGUAAGUACGAUAUAAGUGAUAGCUUCAAUGUUACUGACUUAAUUCCUUUUAUUGCAGAUGAGCCAGAUUUGAGGACAGAUCCUUUUCAAGAGGGAGGGGAUGAUAUGAUCAUGGACCAACUAGCUAAUGAAGAUGAUGAGGAUCUAGAUAAGCCGGCUGAUGAAGAUGUUCUAGUCUUAUCUAAAGGACCUCUAACUCGAUCAAGAUCAAGGAAGCUCACGCAAGCUAUUGGAGGAUUGGUUAAGAUGUCAUGGAAGCAAGAGGAAUGUCUUGGUAAAAGCUUAAUCAGCCAAGACACACUUAUCACCAUUCAAGCUACUUCACCAUCAAGCUGAUCAUCAACUAAGCAAGCAAUCUAUGCGUGUUCUUUUUCCCUAUCUUUGGUUUUGUCCCAUUGGGUUUUCCAAAGAUAAGUUUUUAACGAGGCCAUAGAUUUGCUUCUCAAAUCUCUUAGUUGAUGAUCUCGAUCCAACCUUAUCCCGGAUCAACCUUAUGUUAUAUUAUGUCUUUCAUGUUAUGCUUUUGUUUUCAAACUUGUCUUUUGUUUCUAUUUCCAAGAGAGCCGUGUGCCUUUACUCUCUUGAUAGUUUUCGAGAAGCUUGGAGUCUGUUCCAACUUCUCUUAUAUAAGAGUACUUUGAAACCCUUAUGAAGAUUCAAUUAUCUUUGCUCAUAAACAUUUCUCUUGUUCUCUCUACUACUUGUUUCACGAGUUGUUGAGUGUUCUUGUUGGUGUGUAAUAUCCAACAGCCCAAGAGUGUCUAUCUCGGUAUGUUAUAUCCGAUCUAGUCACUUAGGAGUAUCAGGAAGCCUUUCCGCAGCCUCUUGUGUCACCAAUCGAUUCACAACCUUGUAGAGCUUGAGUCUUUGAUUCGUUCUAGCAAGGAUCUAUCCCAUACUAUCCAGAGAAGCAAUCUAGGGACGUAUUAAAACCAGUCCUAGAUCACCUAAGAGUGUUUGGGUGUGUAAGCUAUGUUCUUGUCCCGGGAGAGAUGAGUAACAAGCUGGAAGCAAAGAGUAUCAAAGCUAUGAUGAUAGGAUACUCAACUACACAGAAGGGAUACAAGUGCUUUGUUCCUGAGACAAGGAGAGUCCUUGUAUCUAGAGAUGUCAAGUUCUUUGAAGAGAAGAGCUACUAUGAAGAAAAAGAUUGGAAAGAGCUGGAGGAUCUUUCACAACCUUCAGAUAGAGCUACAAGCUUGAGACAGAUACUAGAAGAUCUUGGAAUUGGAAUGUCCCAGGAGUCGACAGAGGAUCAGUCAUCUGAAGGACAAGAAGCUGAAGAACCAUCUCACCUUGAUCAUGAGGGAGGGAAUGGAAUUGAGCCGGAUGAGAACCAAGAUUUUGCGGAUCAUCCUGAUCAAGGUGGAGCUGAACCAAGUAAUGAAGAGCUCAAUGAGUUACCAGAACAAGGAGGAGUGGAAGCAACUGAAGUAGAAGCACCAGAGCAAGCACCAGCUGAGGUACCAUUAAGGAGAAGCACACGGCUGAAGACAGAUGCUUCCAACUGGGUAAACACGAGAGUGUACUACAAUGCCCAGGCUGUUGAGCAUCCUUCUCAAGCUGUGUGUUCAUUUGCUUGUUAUCCAAAGGAGCAUUGGACAUUCAUGAUGAGCCUAGAUGAAAGUAGUGUACCAAGAUCAUAUGAAGAAGCAAUGCUACAUCAAGAUUGGAAGGAAUCUGUUGGAGAUGAAGCAAAUGCCAUGAUAAAGAAUGACACUUGGUUUGAAAGUGAGUUGCCAAAAGGAAAGAAGGCAGUAACCAGCAAGUGGAUAUUCACCAUUAAGUAUCUACCUGAUGGAACCAUUGACAGAAAGAAGACAAGACUGGUGGCUAGAGGAUACACUCAAACAUAUGGGGAAAACUACAUUGAUACCUUUGCCCCUGUUGCCAAGCUACAUACAAUAAGAAUUGUAUUGUCUCUUGCUGUGAACCUUGAGUGGGAGCUUUGGCAGAUGGAUGUGAAGAAUGCCUUUCUUCAAGGAGAGCUAGAGGAUGAAGUGUAUAUGCAUCCACCACCAGGCCUAGAGCAUCUUGUGAAACCUGGAAACGUAUUGAGACUCAAGAAGGCUAUCUAUGGAUUAAAAAAAUCUCCUAGAGCAUGGUACAACAAGUUGAGUACUACCUUAAAUGGACGUGGGUUCAAGAAGUCUGAACUGGAUCACACUCUCUUCACUCUCACUACACCCUCAGGUAUCAUUUGUCUACUUGUAUAUGUUGAUGACAUUAUCAUAACAGGUAGUGAUAAAGCUGGUAUAAAAGCCACAAAGGAGUUUUUGAAAUCUGUGUUUGAAAUCAAAGACUUAGGAGAAAUGAAAUACUUCCUUGGAAUUGAGUUGUGUAGAUCUAAGGAAGGAUUGUUCAUUUCCCAAAGGAAGUAUACACUUGAUCUUUUGAAAGAUGCAGGUAUACAAGGAGAUAAGACAGCAAAGAUGCCUCUUGAAGAUGGAUACAAGAUUCCACGUGAGGGGGAGAUUGAAGAUAGCAAGGCCUUUCAUGAUCCAAAGCUAUACAGGAAGCUAGUAGGGAAGCUCAUCUACCUCACAAUCACACGACCAGACAUAUGCUUUGCUGUGAACCAAGUAAGCCAGCAUAUGCAAGUCCCAAAGGAGCAUCACUGGCGCAUGGUGGAGAGACUUCUCUUGUAUCUGAAUGGGACGUCAAGCCUUGGAGUGUGGAUGGGAUGCAACAAGAGCACUGAAGUGGUGGGAUACUGUGAUGCGGAUUGGGCUGGAGAUAGAGCAGACAGGAGAUCAACCACCGGCUAUUGUACAUUCAUUGGAGGCAACUUGGUGACUUGGAAGAGUAAGAAACAGAAGGUGGUGUCUUGUUCAAGCGCUGAAGCUGAGUACAGAGCAAUGCUGAAGCUUACCAAUGAGUUGGUAUGGAUCAAAGGAAUCUUGAAGCACUUGGAGAUAGAGCAGGCAACUCCAAUGACUAUGCAUUGUGAUAAUCAAGCGGCUAUACACAUUGCAACCAACUCAGUCUUCCAUGAGAGAACCAAGCACAUUGAAGUUGAUUGUCACAAGGUGAGGCAGAUGAUUGUAUUGGGAGUAAUCUUGUCGUGCUACACAAGGAGUGAGGAUCAACUUGCGGAUGUGUUUACCAAGGCUGCAAGACAAAAGACUAUGGAGUUCAUUCAUACCAGAUUGGGACUCAUAGAUCUUUCCUCAAGGAGCUGAUCCCCUUUGCCAUGAGGUUUUUACUCUUUUUCCCUCAUCAAGGUUUUGUCCCAAUGGGUUUUCCUUGGUGAGGUUUUUAAUGAGGAAGAUCUCAUGGUUGUUCCAAGCUUAACUAAGUUAUUAAGUUAAGCUUGAGGGGGAGUGUUGAAAUGAGUUGAUCAAUAUGUGAGAAGAUGGCUUAAGGAGUUGGGAAUGAGAUAGUGUGAAGGCAAAGAGAAGGAGAGCUUGGGAGUGAUCAGGCCGUACAAGGCCGUACCGGCCGUACCAUCCGUACGGUCCGGAUCAAUCCACUACUCGACCAAGAAGAGAAGUUACCGCGUGAAAGAAGUAAACGGCCAAAGGGGUUUUACCUUAGAGGAUAUGACCGUUUGGAUGGAUAGAGUGACUGAGCCUUAUCCUCACUGGCUGGAACAGGCUGUAAAGGCAAAAGGAACCUAGUCCGAGAUGCCAAAAGCGUGUGACAGCUCUCAUUGGAUCAGUUUUGAAUUAAAGCAACCUUAUCCUUGACCUCACAUGCUUAGUCUCUCUAAAACCCUUGUAUCUGAUCCUAUAUAUUGUAAACUCUGNNNNNNNNNNNNNNNNNNNNNNNNNNNNNNNNNNNNNNNNNNNNNNNNNNNNNNNNNNNNNNNNNNNNNNNNNNNNNNNNNNNNNNNNNNNNNNNNNNNNNNNNNNNNNNNNNNNNNNNNNNNNNNNNNNNNNNNNNNNNNNNNNNNNNNNNNNNNNNNNNNNNNNNNNNNNNNNNNNNNNNNNNNNNNNNNNNNNNNNNNNNNNNNNNNNNNNNNNNNNNNNNNNNNNNNNNNNNNNNNNNNNNNNNNNNNNNNNNNNNNNNNNNNNNNNNNNNNNNNNNNNNNNNNNNNNNNNNNNNNNNNNNNNNNNNNNNNNNNNNNNNNNNNNNNNNNNNNNNNNNNNNNNNNNNNNNNNNNNNNNNNNNNNNNNNNNNNNNNNNNNNNNNNNNNNNNNNNNNNNNNNNNNNNNNNNNNNNNNNNNNNNNNNNNNNNNNNNNNNNNNNNNNNNNNNNNNNNNNNNNNNNNNNNNNNNNNNNNNNNNNNNNNNNNNNNNNNNNNNNNNNNNNNNNNNNNNNNNNNNNNNNNNNNNNNNNNNNNNNNNNNNNNNNNNNNNNNNNNNNNNNNNNNNNNNNNNNNNNNNNNNNNNNNNNNNNNNNNNNNNNNNNNNNNNNNNNNNNNNNNNNNNNNNNNNNNNNNNNNNNNNNNNNNNNNNNNNNNNNNNNNNNNNNNNNNNNNNNNNNNNNNNNNNNNNNNNNNNNNNNNNNNNNNNNNNNNNNNNNNNNNNNNNNNNNNNNNNNNNNNNNNNNNNNNNNNNNNNNNNNNNNNNNNNNNNNNNNNNNNNNNNNNNNNNNNNNNNNNNNNNNNNNNNNNNNNNNNNNNNNNNNNNNNNNNNNNNNNNNNNNNNNNNNNNNNNNNNNNNNNNNNNNNNNNNNNNNNNNNNNNNNNNNNNNNNNNNNNNNNNNNNNNNNNNNNNNNNNNNNNNNNNNNNNNNNNNNNNNNNNNNNNNNNNNNNNNNNNNNNNNNNNNNNNNNNNNNNNNNNNNNNNNNNNNNNNNNNNNNNNNNNNNNNNNNNNNNNNNNNNNNNNNNNNNNNNNNAAAUCAAGCUUUGUACAUCGCGAUUCAUCCUGGUUUGAUUAGAAUGUCGAAGAAGUUGUCAUAUUCCCAAACAGGGAAACUGGGAUCACCUUAUUUGAAAGUGGGAUAACUUCUUCAUCCUAACUCCUAUGAGAUUUAUUCAACUUCCUGGUGAUUCUCCACUACUUUAUGUUUCCAAAUGAAGGUUCUCACAUCGCGAUUCAUCUUGGUUUGAUUAGAAUGACGAAGAAGUUGUCAUAUUCCCAAACAGGAAAACUGGGAUCACCUUAUUUGAAAGUGGGAUAACUUCUUCAUCCUAACUCCUAUGAGAUUUAUUCAACUUCCUGGUGAUUCUCCACUACUUAAUGUAUCCAAAUGAAGGUACUUACGUCGCGAUUCAUCCUGGUUUAAUUAGAAUGAUUAGAAGUUGUCAUAUUAUUUUGUACCUAAUACACAUAUAGAAAGCCGAAAAGAAAAUAAUUUACAGUUGUAUUAGGUACAAAAUAAUUAUACAGAGUAUAUUUGUAUAAGCAUCCAAGACAUUACCAUCAAGGGACCCACAUGAGACAAGCAUGGGAGUAUAUCUGUAUAAGCAUCCAAGACAUCACACCAUCAAGGGACCCACAUGAGACAAGCAUGGGACCCACCUGGAGACUUUGAAGCAACACGACAAAGGUCUCCAUCAGCCAACCAAGACUCGACACGUAGCAAGCAAAGUGUCGGCACAAUCAGAAGACGACACGUAGCAAGCCGAGUGUCGGCACAAUCAGAAGACGACACGUGGCAACCAAUCAAUACGCAAACUUCGCCUAUAAAAGGAACCCAUGAGGAAGAACGAAGACACGGGCAAUUUCGCCAAGCUCUUUCUCACUCUAAAGAUCGCUCUCCCUUCUCUCUAAAAUUCUGUAAAAUUUUAAGUUCUAUCAGCAACUCUGUAAUAAAAGAUUGUAACAUCAAGAUCAAUAAAAGUAAGUAUUAAUCAUAGUCUUGUCAUCAUAAGUUUGUUUUUAAUCCAGCAAAUAAAUAAAAUCAAAUUAAAUUAAGAACUUUGUAAACAAAUCAACACAAAGAAAAUAAAUUAAAACUGGUAUUGGGAAACUGGGAUCACCUUAUUUGAAAGUGAGAUAACUUCUUCAUCCUAACUCCUAUGAGAUUUAUUCAACUUCCUGGUGAUUCUCCACUACUUAAUGUAUCCAAAUGAAGGUACUUACGUCGCGAUUCAUCCUGGUUUAAUUAGAAUGAUUAGAAGUUGUCAUAUUAUUUUGUACCUAAUACACAUAUAGAAAGCCGAAAAGAAAAUAAUUUACAGAGUAUAUCUGUAUAAGCAUCCAAGACAUCACACCAUCAAGGGACCCACAUGAGACAAGCAUGGGACCCACCUGGAGACUUUGAAGCAACACGACAAAGGUCUCCAUCAGCCAACCAAGACUCGACACGUAGCAAGCAAAGUGUCGGCACAAUCAGAAGACGACACGUAGCAAGCCGAGUGUCGGCACAAUCAGAAGACGACACGUAGCAAGCCGAGUGUCGGCACAAUCAGAAGACGACACGUAGCAAGCCGAGUGUCGGCACAAUCAGAAGACGACACGUGGCAACCAAUCAAUACGCAAACUUCGCCUAUAAAAGGAACCCAUGAGGAAGAACGAAGACACGGGCAAUUUCGCCAAGCUCUUUCUCACUCUAAAGAUCGCUCUCCCUUCUCUCUAAAAUUCUGUAAAAUUUUAAGUUCUAUCAGCAACUCUGUAAUAAAAGAUUGUAACAUCAAGAUCAAUAAAAGUAAGUAUUAAUCAUAGUCUUGUCAUCAUAAGUUUGUUUUUAAUCCAGCAAAUAAAUAAAAUCAAAUUAAAUUAAGAACUUUGUAAACAAAUCAACACAAAGAAAAUAAAUUAAAACUGGUAUCAGAUGCUAAAACGUUGCAAACUGGCUAAAGAAUUUGACCAUCAAGAUAUCUGACUUUAAUCUAUUUUAAACCCGUUAAAACGACCUCACCGUCUAAGUAAAACUCUGUCACUGUAGGUGUUCCAGGCAGCAAGUCCAAAGAAGGCAGUAAGACCGUUGGCAAGCCAGCAGUUGAGUCGAAUUAAACGGUUAGUAAAAUUUUAUGAGUUUAAAAUCGGAUUAAAAUCAUGGCAUCUUCGAUUAGAAAAUUCUUUAAACCAAGAACCGCGUCAACCUCAGCGUCUUAUUCAACUGUAAAUUCUAGAGAAAUAAUGACUAAAAUAACGACCUUUAAUCAAGAAAUUUCAAAGAAUCAAUUACCGCAUAUUAAUCCUGAGAAUAUAUAUCAAAUAGGAACGUUUGAUUUUAAAACGGCUUAUUCAAUAAAAGAACAUGAACAAACUCUGUCUUUACAAAACGAGUUUGAAGAAAUCAAAUUAUUAUCCUCACUAGCUUUAGAAAAAUAUAAACAAAAGGGAUUCAACUACAUUCAUUUCGGAUUAAUUCAAGUAGCUAUAAAACCAUUAUCAAGAACAGGAAUUGAUUCACCUAUCCUUAUGUUAUUAAGAGACAAGACUUUAUUAAAAUUCGAAGAUUCACUCCUUGGAGCAGUCCAAUCAAAUCUAUGCAUUGGAGCUGUAUAUUUUAAUUGCGCUCCUAAUUUUCAAGUUAUUCUACACGACCCAACUAUACUCAACACUCUGACCUUAAAUGUUCAUUUACCUGAAAUUAAAUUUCAAAACGAAAGACAUGGAUACUUAUUACUCUAUAGAGUAUAUUUUAAACAAUCAAUUUCAGAAUUCAACCCAAGAUGUUUACUACAAGAUAAUAAAGGUGAAACAACAAUUUUGGCCGUUCAUAGCAAAGACACUCCAACGGCUACAUACACACCUAAACAACUAAACUGGGAUGAGAUAACUAUACCGGAUCAAUGGAAAAUUGAAAUUACGCUACCACCUAGAAUAAGUCCAUACCACUCAAGAGCUUCCUUUUCUGAAUAUCGCACUGGUCAAUCCAGUACAAACUCAGAAACAGAAAGCGUAAAUCAAAAUGUUAGACAAGAAGAACCAAUUAAAUUCAAAGCUCCAAUAGCCGAGCCUCAUCAAGAUAUGUAUCCAACUUCACCAACUUUAUCAGACUUUAAAUCAAUAAAUGUUAUAACCAAAACAUACAAAAUAAAUAAACAAUACAUAAAAGAAGACUUUUACUCAAAACAAAAUGAAGAAAAAAGGAAAUGGUAUUUUAGUACUUUUCCUAAAGAAGAAACUAUAUUAUACCGAGAAAAUUGGUAUAAUUUUAUGAUAUCCAAAGAAACAGACAUUCCAUUUUUCAAAUGGUUUGAAAGUUAUGGAAACGACAACAAUAUAAAUUACCCAUUCAAAUCAAUUAAUGUAAAUUCAACAUUAAGCCAAGUUUGGGAACAAAGGGAUGGAAAUAAAAUAAGAUCAAUCCAUCCCCCUCUGAAGGAUAUAAAGAUAAAUACUGCAAAUAGACAAGUUAUUGCAACCCCGUUCAAAACCGGAGCUAAUAGAGAUGAUAAAGACCCAAUCCAUAUGCAAGAUAUAAAGUCCAUAUAUCAACAAAAUAAUUAUCAAAGCCAGAUAUUACACACAAUAUCUAGACAAAUAAACGAGAUAGAUAUAAAAAUCAAUAAUAACGAGACUAAUAAACAAGAACAACAUCCCUUUUCAUCCAUAACUCCACCAAUAUUUAAACCAAUAAACAUGCAAGUAAAACUACCAGAUAACCCUAUUUUAACAUCAAUCGCAUCCAGACUAGACAAAUUAGACAGAGGCAAAAAUAUAAACAUUAUAGAUGAGGAAGACAGCGAGUCAACUUCAGCUAUAAUAUCCGAAGACGAACCAAUAAUCAAUCGAAUAAAAAAUAAAUCAACAAAACCAUAUUAUAAGAGACAUACUCCACCGGAUUAAUUAUUUGAAGAACACCAUAAAUAUUCCGCAAAUAUGUAUUCCGGAGACGGGAUAUAUGAAUGGAAUAUUGAUGGAAGGUCAGAAUACGAAAUAAUGAAUUUAUUACAAGAAAUGGGAAUGGCCGCUAUGGCCUAUAAAGCAAAGCGAAAUGAUGAUAAGCAAUCAUGCGUAUUAUUAAUAGUAGGAUUCAACGGAGCAUUAAGAUACUGGUGGGACAACUCACUAGACAAUGUUACCCAAGAAUCGAUUAUCAACCAUACUGAAACAAGAACGGUAGAAAAUACUGAAGGAGAAUUAGAACAAGUGGAAACACAAAACGCAGUAGAAGUAUUAAUUCAUACUAUAACCAUGCACUUUAUAGGAAAUCCGAAAGAAGAACUAGAAAGCAAAAAAAUAAUCUUAACCAAUUUAAGAUGUCCAACAUUAGGAGAUUUUAAAUGGUAUAAAGAUGUAUUUGUAACAAACAUAUUUCAAAGAAAUGAUUGUACUCAAGCCUUUUGGAAAGAAAGAUUUAUAGC
Molecule: long non-coding RNA, 54385 nt
Filed under: Brassica napus (rape)
Lineage: Eukaryota; Viridiplantae; Streptophyta; Magnoliopsida; Brassicales; Brassicaceae
Description: long non-coding RNA (BNAP_LNC022914)
Source: RNAcentral